UUUUUUUUUUUUCUAUUAUUUCAGUUUGUUUUUAGUUUCAAUAAUUGGAAACUUAGUGAAGUCGGAUUUUAAUUUUUAAAUAAAUAAUUGGAUACAUUUUUAUAAUUAUGUUUUGGAAGUUUUCUUUUAUUUUUGUUCUCUGCUGUGGAUUAUAUUAGUUUUCAUAGUGUAUGAUAACAUGAUGAUAUCAACUUCCGAUGUAUGAGAACAUGAUGUUAUCACUGAAUUUGUCCUUGAUAACAUGAUGUUAUCACUGAACAUGUGUGAUGAUGUUAUUAGUUAACUUAUCCUUGAUAACAUCAUGCUAUCACAACAAUGUUUCAGAAUUCCAAUAAAAGUUUACUUAUUGAAAAUAUGUUUGAAGUAGUGAUAAAAAGAAUGAAGAAAAAAAAGAACCAAACUAAAAAUCCACAAGUAGAGGAUAAAAGAACUUACUUCUUUGUUGUUAAUUAUUUGUGAUUAGAGAGUAUGUAAUGUUAUCAAAUAUAUGAUAACAUGAUAUUAUCAGUACUACACUUGCCCUUUAUAACAUGAGCUCCAAAUAUAUGAUAACAGGAUGUUAUCACUGCACUUAUUCUUGAUAACACCAUUUUAUUAUCUUUAUUUAGGCUUUAGGGUUUAUAUUUAGUGUUAGUGGUCUAGGGUUCUUAGGGUUUAAAUUUAGUGUGUUUAAAAUUAAGUCGGUAAUAACCUGUACAAAUCCUACUGGGGUUAACAACACCCAUACAUGACAGUGUUUUAGAUGUAUCGUACAUGUACGUAAAAUUAGUUUCAUAGGUUUAGAUUUAAAUGUGUUUAAAAGUAAGUUGGAUACCGGAUCUUGCUGCUGCUACUUGUCCUCCAUAGAUGAAGUCAAGAAGAGAAAACCUCCUCCUAGUCAUGCUCAUCCUAUUCUUUAACCAGCGAUUUCUAUUUUGAGCUUGUUGUUAUACAGAUAAAUCUUGCACGUACUGAGCUCGGAUCAGCCUUGUAGGUCGCGAGCUCUUGCUUCAUCUCUCUGCUACAAAGUCACUCUUUUAUUAGGCGAUGAGGAAGCUUAUGAGGAAGAACUGUAGGGUUAAUGAUAAGUCCUCAAAAGUGUAUAUUUACCCCCCGAAUAACAUCUUGUUUGCAAAGCACUUAGCUUAUAUUAUUGUGUUAUACCUAUUAAUUAGUGUUUUCUUGUCAUUUGUAUAGGUUUCAUGAGCCGAAAUGCGAAUAUUGUGUUAAAGCCCGCCAAAAGUCAAGAAAAGCCCACAAAAAGUGUUAUUUGCACAAGAAAGAAGAAUUGAUACUUGCACCCACAGAGUCGCUGAGGGCACCCCACGGCUGGUCCUAUUGACUUGACUUUAUGUCAAAGUGGGGCGGUCUAAAUCUCAACGCAAACCGGGUCCUAUUGAAGCCCACAAAUCAAAAUUUCUAUUUUAGGCAUUAUUUAAAGUCCAAUCUUAAAAAUGUUCUACAAGAAGAUCCAGAAGUCAGAUUUGGGCCCAUGAGUUGUCCAAUUGAAGGUCUUGGUCCAACCUACAACUUAAGUCCAAGAUAAUUAGGUUUUGCUGAAAACCUAAUCCCUCUAAAAGACCAACAGCAGCAGCCACGAAUUUGACCUAAUUUAGAAGUCUUUGUAUGCAAGUAUUAUGCUUUGUAUUUUCUAUAUAAGAGAAGUAGUAGCUAGGGUUUAGGUAGUUCAUACAGUUCAUGUUGAAGAAGAAAAAUCUUGUAUUGAACUCAAUUCUUAUUAUCAAUAUCAAUCCAUUAACUUUUCCCUUAUGAUGCCUUGUUAUUUAAUUUAUUUAUUUAUUCCAUGGUGUUAUCAUCAAUGAUGAGCUAAAUUCCCUUAGGGGGAUGGUUGAAGCACUCUAGAUAAUGCAAAAGCACCAUGUUUGUUCUUAAUGUUCAUUGUGAUUCAAUUUGUUUGUUUAUUUCAAUUCUAGAUAGAAGUAAACAUGAUUAUUUAUGUGUUAUUGUUAUCCAUGUUGAUUAAAUACUAUUGUUAGAGUAUAGGGAGACCUAGCUAUAAUGGUUGUAUUAGAUUAAUUAAUGAUAUGUGAUAGAAUAGUUGAGAGGUGACUAUCAUAUGUUUAGAAUUAAUCUCUUUUAUUGGACCCUUUUUGUAAUCAAAUUGAAUAGCUGAGAGGUGACGGUUUGAUUAUGAAUUAAUAUGUUGAGUUAAUUGAAUUGAAUAGUUGAGAGGUGAAAGUUUAAUUAAUGAGAUAUAUUCAAUAGCACAUAUAAAGAAUCCCGUUUUAAUUGAGUGGAAUAGCUGAGAGGUGACUACUUAAUUAUUAUAUGUAUUGAUGAUUAAUUGGAAUAGCUGAGAGGUGACUAAUUAAUUGUUAUAGAUUGAACAUGAAAGGAUGACAUGUUAUGUUUGCAUGAUUUAGUUUGUGGAUACGAACUCUUCCCCCUAUGUCAUCAUAAGAUCUUCUUUACAUCUCUAUCCAUCUUCUUAAGUUAGUUUAUUUAUUAGUUUAUUUAAUUAUUGCCUGUAGGGAGUAGAAUCCAAUCUCUCUCUUAUUUGUGAUUCACUUGGUAUUUCUUAACCAUUGUUUGCUAUUGUGUUGAGCUAAGAUCUUCACCUUUGAGGUGGGUACGACCCUUACUUGUUACUUGUCUACAUUGAUAACCAAUAUUUACAGGCACAAGAAGGUAACUUCAUUAUAAAUCUAUCUUUUGAAUAGAGGUUACACAAAUAGCCUCUAUCAGUUAACAACACCCAUACGUGGUAGUGUUUUAGAUGUACACACUUCUGUGUUAUCAUGAGAAAUCGCCUAUUUACUUGGGUGCCUAACACUGAUUGGACUCACCUUAUCCCUAUGGAUCCUACACAUCGUUUUAUCCGGGGAAGUCGCCUAUUCACUUGGGUGCCUAACACUGUAUAUGUAGAGUAUCCAAAUAUGCAUAGAAAUGAUAAAUUUAUGGAUAAUGGUGAAGGGUCUUGGAAUAUAGUUAAAGAGGCAUUAACUCUUUGGCGUGAUGACUUGGAUGGUUUGCCAAGAGAGGUUGUUUGAAAUCAAGAGUGUAAUAUAGGAUUUCUUUUUCUGUUGAGUCAGUCCUUUAUUUCAGUAUAUUUUAUUUCAGUUGUGUCAUAGUAUGGAAUUCGUUGUAAUCUCUAUAUGGAGAUAAUUUUGUUUGACAGGAAUCUAUAAAGCGGUUUGAAUUUUUAGUACAUUCAUGGUAAUAUCUUUCUCUCUCUCUUUCCUAUGCUUAGUAUGGGGACAAGGCAAUCUCUUUGUUUGGGGGUGGGGAAGUAUUUCAAUCCUUUUUGCAAAUGAUUUUCAAACUCCUUUAUCCAUACUUGUGUAAUAAUUCAAAAAACGUUUUUGAGAAAAAUCAACAAAAAUCUUUCUUACAAAGACUUUUGCAAAAAUAGGAUAAGUACACCAUCAAUGAUGAACAUAAUGGUUGAAUUCUAUCAUUUUCAAGUUUAAGGACAAUUAUUGCUUCACCAAGUAGUUGCGUCUUAUACUACAUUUGCAUAAGCAUAAGCAUGACAUUCAUCUGCAUUUAUUAUAGAUUACAUGUGCAAAUACAACUACACCUUGAGAAACUCGAGGAAUAAGUGUAGAGACUUAACGCUGUGAGCUUUUGAGCCCCGUCCUUUACUUGGAGAGUUAUUACGUAGAUCUGGAGUCAAAAGACUCAACCUCUCAGUUUUGUCUGUUUUUAGUCUCAUAUCAUUCUUAUAGUUAGCCUUGAGACGACAUCAAGUGGGUGUAAUAUAAACUUGGGUCUUGUAGCUUAUUCAAGAUGUGAUCACCAUAUCAGUACUUAGAGAUGAUACAAAGACAUUUAGUUAAACCCUAUUUACCUUAGCCUACCCUGAUGAUAUUUUAUCCCUUAGGUUAAUCAUUCUGAGCCUUUCUUGUUAGUUAGCCUUUUUUCUUAAGCCCAUUCCUUACCCAACUCCAUUGUAGGAGUUAAUACCCUUAGAAUGUUUUAGGUCCUUUUACCCAUUGUUUUUGGAACAUGAGGAUAAUUGUUUACGUAGUUACAAGAAGAAAGGGGAAAUACAAAGAAAUCUCCAAACUAGUGAAAUAAACCAAAUAUUGAAAACCAAAAGGUUUGAAGAAAUUCCAGAAAAAGCCAGAAUCUUCCAAAUCAUUCCAAAUCCAAAAAGAAAGGAAGAUUCCUAAAUAGGCUAGAACUUCAUUGAAAUUUUCCCAAAAGAAGAUGAGAAAUACUUCUUACAAAAGAAAAUUUUCAAAAAUUUCUCCAUGUGUUGUUAUUACAAAUCACAAGUAUUGAAGGCCCGAAUGUUCCAAAAAUGUUUCAUAAAAGCCUUUGCCAUUUCUAACCCUGUCCUAAGCCAAGUUAUAACCCAUUACUGUCUUUUGUAGAUCUAAGCUGAUAUGGUAGGAUGUGGCGAGUAAGUGAGAAGAUGCUGAGGUGAAAAACCCGAAACAAGGCUAGUUUUUCUAUUCUUUGAAACUAAGUUCAUUCCAUUACACCAGUCCGUUCUUAUUGAUAUAUGUGAGAUGUUUGUCGAUCUUCUUUCCUCACAUAGAGGUAAAAUGAUAAACAUCAUCUCCGAGUGACUUUAGUUCUGAGUGUAUGUCUGUGAGGCAGAAGUCAAAGCGACCUUUCGAAAAGGUGACUUAAGACCCGUAGUAGUAUGGGUACAUGCCUGUAUUCGAUGCACUUGAGACCGUUAUGCUUGGUUUAUAUUUCAUAUCUUAUUCAUGCAUUUGUAGUAUGUUAUCUCAUAUGAACGGUUUUGCAAUACUUAUCUUUAUCCUUGAUAUGACCAUUUCUAAGGUACAUGGUAGAAAAUCCUAUUCUUGAAAUUAGUCAUUGUAGUAAGUUUGUGGGUAUCUUCUCUGAAAAACCCUCAGGAGACUAUAACUCCUCCACCUGGGAAAUCCUUGUGGUUAAAAGCUUUGAUGCAUACGGUUAAUGCAAUCACCUUAGUUAUACUUCUCUUUUGAGUCAUUUAUUCUUUCUUCUCAUCUUUGCUCGAGGACAAGCAAAGUGUUGUUUGGGGGUAUUUGAUCGGACCUCAAAAGUGUAUAUUUAUCCCCCAAAUAACACCUUGUUUGUAUAGCACUUAGCCUAUAUUAUUGUAUUAUAUCUAUUGAUUAGUGCUUUCUUGUCUUUUGUGUAGGUUUCAUGAGCCGAAAUGCAAAUAUUAUGUAAAAGCCGCGAAAAGUCGAGAAAAGCAAACAAAAAGGUGUUAUUUGCACAUGGGAAGGAGAAUCGAUAUUUAAACCCACAAGAUCUACUGAGGGUACCCCACGGUCAGCUCUGUUGACUUGACUUAAGGUCAAAGUGGGACGGUCCAAUUCUCAGCCCAAACCGGGUCCCACUUAAGCCCACAAGUCAGAAUUUCUAUUUUGAGCCUUAUUUAAGUCCAAACUUAAAAAGGUUCCACAAGAAGAUCCAGAAGUCUGAUUUGGGCCCAUGAGCUAUCAAACUGAAGGUCUUGCCCCAAGCUACAACUUAAGCCCAAGAGAAUUAGGUUUUGUUGAUUACCUAAUGUCUCAAUAAGACCAACAGAAGCAGCCACGAAUUUGACCUAAUUUGAAAGUCUUUGCAUGCAAGUAUUCUACUUUGUAUUUUCUAUAUAAGAGAAGUUGUAACUAGGGCUUAGAUAUCUUUUAGUUUUCCUUUAAGAUCAACUUUCAUUGAAGAAGAGUUGAUCUUCUUCUUUAUUGUAUUCAACUCAUUAUUCAAUAUCAAUUCCAUUAUUAUUCCAUUAUGAUGUAUUGUGAUUUAUUUAUUUAUUCCUUGGUUUCAUCAUCAAGGAUGAGUAGAUAAUUCUCUUUAGGGGGAUGGUGGAAGCUCUCUAGGUGAUGUAAAAGUAUCAUGUUUGUUCUUAUUGUUCAUUGUGAUUCAAAGUUCUUAAUGUUUAUUUGCUUCUAAUUCGGGAUAUGAGGUAAGUAUGAUUAUUUGCAUGUUAUUGUUAUCCAUGAUGUUAAAAUAUUAUUGUUAGGGUUUAGGGAGACCUAGCUUUAAUGGUAGUAUUUAUAUUUAUUGUAGAUGCGUAGUGCAAUAGCUGAGAGGUGAUUAUUACAUGUUUAUAAUAUAUAUCUUUAAUUGGAAUGAUUAAAUCAAAUAGCUGAGAGGUGAUGAUUUAGUUAUGAAUAAUAUGUUAAGUUAAUUAGAUUGAAUAGCUGAGAGAUGACGGUUUAAUUAAUGAAACAUAUUCAAUAGCAUGCAUAAGAGAAUCCCGUUUUAAUUGGGUGGAAUAGCUGAGUGGUGAUUACUUAAUUAUUAUAGGUAUUAAUAAUUAGUUGGAAUAACCGAGAGGUGACUAAUUAGUUAUUAUAGAUUGAACAUGAGGAACAACAUGCUAUGAUUGCAUGAUUUAGUUUGUGGAUACCAACUAUUCCCCCUAUGUCAUCAUAUAUCUUCUUUUCAUCUCUACCAUAUUCUUAAGUUAGGGUUUACUAUUUAUUAUUGCCUGUAGGAAGUAGAAUCAAUCAUGAAAUCUUAUUAUUGAUUCCCUUGGUGUUUCUUAACUAUUGUUUUCUAUUGUGUUUGAGCUAAGAUCUCCCCCUCUGAGGUGGGUACGACCCUUGCUUGUUACUUGUCUACUUUGAUAUCCAAUUUAUACAGGCACAAGAAGGAACUUCAAGUUAAAAUAUAAUCUUUUGAUAGUAGGCGUCAAAAACCGAUUAUCAAAAUAGCGUCGUUACCGCUCUAAGGAACGGAGUUCAUUCAAACACAAGCGAGAAUAGUUGUUUCGGGACAUCACCCCACUUCUAUCCCUCCCACCCUUCUAUUUUUAUUUUUUUUAAUUAGUGUUUUUAAUUGUCUUGUUACUUAGUCCUCUUAUUGAUCUUGCAGCGAGGACGGAUUGAAAAAAAACUCGAAAAACGGAGUCAAUAUCAAAGUUUUAAGAAAAGUUCGCGUUCAGGAAAUCUUCCUGAAAGUUCCUAGUUCAAACUGGGCCCGAUCUCGAGUCGAGUUCAGUUUGGCCUUUACCAAUCUCGAGUCGAGUUCCAGGCAGGGAAUUUGCUCGUUUUGCAUGAUUUUUCCAGAGCGCUCCAGAACUCCUGUUUAGCUAAUUUAUUUUCCUGAUGAGAGAUUGUGAGAUGAACUAAGUAGUCUAUUUUUUUCAACAUUUUUAAAGACUUGUAAGUUAUUUAAUUAUUCGAUCCACGAAGGGGUCGCGGUUGUAAUAUUUUUAAAGUAGGUGUUGUUAGGAUUUAUUUUAUUGUGUGUUCGCGGCGGAUAGUAGAGCAAGGUUGUGGAGCUAGCCUUGAGUCUACUAAGGAACGACUCCUAAGGACGAUUGAAACCCAAGGAGCGGUUUCCCCUUAGUCGACUUCAACUCGUCUUUUCCCCACUUUUGUGCGCUUGUUUGACAAUUUUUACUUUUUAGCAUAAAGUGGGAGGUACGCAUUCUCCUAACCCUCCUCGAAUCCCCUGCAAGAGGAGUUUCUGUAUUGAUUAGCAUGACCUUGAUUGUUGCUUGAUUUCAAUUUCUAUUUUUACUUGUUAAACCGAGACUGCAAGGCGGACCUGGCCUAUAAGUGAAACCUAAUAUCAAUUGAUUGCAAUAUCCUAAGCCUUAAAAUUGAAUCAACUAACGCCAUGCUAUCACGAUGUUCAUUUGAGACCUUGAGCAGAGAUUUCAACUAGUACUGUGUGAUUUUUCUUUGAUUGGAGCACAAGUUAGGAAUUGGGUCUGGAACCCCUACGGAUUUAUCUGUAGAAUCACUGUGGUUAUUUAAUUAAGGAACGUGUUUAGGCACGGACAACCUGCCACAUUGGUUAUUCGCUGCUUGACUCUCGAAAUAUAGGGAGAAUUCACUCACAAAGCUUGGAAGAACUCAUUGACUUGGGUGAACACAAAAUUGAGUCAGUUUUUGAACCCCUUGUUAGAUGCUUUUGAAUGGUUAGGACUUCUGUUGCAUAUGCAAUGCGCAUGUUGCAUGCAUCUUAGAUCACAUAAAAUCUUGUCCAAACCUAUAAUCUACACAAAGAGCACAAUCACGGACCUCCCUACUCCUCCUGAGGAAGAGUUUCACAACUCAACCUCCAUACCUUCUGAAGAAGAGUUCAACGACUCAACUUCACUUUCUGAAGUACAUCCUGCACCUAUGGCUCAAGAAGCUACCCUUCGGGAUUACUUUUCACCUUUGGCCACUGGGCCACCUACCUGCAUUGUCUUACCUGCGACAAAUGCAGAUAGCUAUGGCAUUCGCCAACAGAUUGUGGGCAUGUUGCCUAACUUCCAUGGACUUCCACGGGAAGAUCCAUAUCAGCACCUCAAUAGGUUUCUGACUGUUCUCCAUACUUUUAGGGAGAAGCAUUUAUCUGAGCAGGAAGUUAGCUUGAGAUUGUUCCCCUUUUCUCUUGAGGAUAGAGCAUCUCAUUGGUUACAUGGCCUUCCUUCCAAUUCUAUUGCCACUUGGGCUCAACUAAGUAAAAGGUUUUUGACCAAAUUCUUUCCUAUUACUAGAACUAAUGACAUAGUUGAUGCCAUAAGAAGUUUUCGGCAAAAAGAGGGCGGGGUAUUCUUUGAUGCAUGGGAGAGGUUUCACGACCUAUUUCUUCAAUGUCCACACCACAAAGUCGAUGACACUGAAAAAGUUAGGAUUUUGUAUAGAGGCCUUAAUACUCAGACUAGAAACACAGUUGAAAGCCUGAGUGGUGGAGAUUUCCUUGGUUACUCCACGACCAAGGCUCUAGCCUUCCUUGAAAAGAUUGCUACUAAUAGCCAACAAUGGGAUGUACCUGGACAUACCCCGAGAAACACUACCCCAGACUCAUUCGAUAAACCUAGAGGUCUAUAUGAAGUCAAACUCGACUCUGAGCUUAAAAAUCUACUUCAUGGAUUAACUAAACAGGUAGCAGCACUUGGCAUAUCCUUAAAUACCCCAUCAACUGUUAUGAGUGCCUCCACUCUUUCAUGCGAUGCUUGUCAUGACCAGACCCACACUGCCAAAUUUUGCCCUCUCCUUGUUAAUUCACCAGAAACUGAGGAUGCAUGUGCGUUUAAUUACGCUGGGAGAACUAACUUUACUAAGGGCAAUGCCACGUACCCAUACAUGGACCGCUCCAAUCUCUCUUAUUUUAAUAAUCAUCAUGCGGGUCCACCUGGUUUUAAUAACUCUUAUGGGCAACGUAGCAAUGCCACGUAUGUUAGUAAUAUUGAUAAUCGGAACAGGGCACCGGUCCCCCCUUAUUCAAACAAUGCUCAUCACAUGAGUGGUUCCAGAGACCGUAUGCCAACUAAUCAAUCUGCCUCUACUAAAACCUCUCUUGAGGAUGUGCUUGCCCAUUUUAUUCAACAGACCCAGGUGUCUAUUUAGUCAAAUGCCCAAGCCAUCCAGAGAAUUGAACAAAAACUUGAUGAAAGAGGUAGAUUUCCGGGACAGUCCAUCCCGAACCCCAAAGGCAAAGAAGUUGCCUUGGUGAUGGAAGCUACAUCUCCAUCUGUACCGCUUGUUGAAGUAAAAUCGGUUUCCACCCUUAGGUCAGGAAAACAGGUCAAUAAUCAAAUUAAUUAUAUACUGAGUCCCAACAUUGUGACCCCGGUUACCUCUGCACCUGUUGCCCCACCUGAACCUCCGGCUAAUGAGGCAACCACCUCUAAACCGAAGAAGACUGCCCGUGAGAUCGUGGACCCUCAACGAACUUACAUCCCACUUGUACCUUACCCCCAGAGACUCACAAGGUCUCUGAAGGAAGUCCAAGCAGAGGAAGUACUUGAUGUGUUCAAACAUAUAAAUAUUAAUAUACCUUUCCUCACGGCUAUUAAACAGAUACCUUCCUAUGUUAAGGUCUUGAAGGACUUAUGCACCGCCAAGAGAAAAAUAAAUGUUCCUAAAAACGCAUUUGUAGCGGAAGAAUUCUCUGCACUGUCCAACAUAAUGGUGUGGUAAAAUAUAAGGACCCUGGAAAACAGACCAUACCCUGUAAGCUUGGUGACAAGUUCAUGGGUAAAGUUUUGCUAGACUUAGGAGCGAGUGUGAACCUUUUGCCUUACUCUUUGUACCUCAGCCUGUGUCUAACAAACAUUAAACCCACGAAAAUGUCAUUACAACUAGCCGACAGAUCUUUGAAAGUACCUAGAGGUAUAGUUGAGGACCUAUUAGUUAAAGUGUCUGACCUUUACUAUCCUGUUGACUUUGUGGUGUUGGAUACUGAACCUACUGUCGAUGAUUCGGUACCCAUCAUCCUUGGCCGCCCAUUCUUGGCCACCUCUAAUACUCUCAUAAACUGCCGGAACGGUUCCAUGGUUCUCACUUUUGGCUCUAUGACUGUUGAAGUUAAUAUAUUUAACCUUGGCCAACAAACCCCUGAUCUUUCCUUAUCUGAGGAUGUGUGUCUUCUAGACUCAUUACCUUAUGAGAUGGUUCAUAGUUAUUACCCUGAAGAUCCGGUUGUUCAUUGCCUUGCUAUGCAUAAUGUAGACUUUGACAUUGACCAAUCUAUUGCCCAAACCAAUGCUCUUCUUGAUUCUGUGCCUAUCUUUGAACCUAAAGACCCUGAGGCCCUUGAUGUGGUUUGUAGCUUAGAUUCUGAGACUCAAGUAGAGACCAUUACUCCACUUUCUGUUACCCUGAAUCCUCUUCCAACUGAGCUGAAAUAUUCUCAUCUUGAUUCAGACGGUAGUCAUCCUGUUAUCAUUUUCUCAUCUCUUACUACCGAACAAGAGAGUCAGCUUAUAGAAGUUAUCUUAGAGCAUCGCUCUGCUAUUGCCUGGUCCAUCCACGACAUCAAAGGCAUUAGCCCUUCUGUCUGUUCUCAUCGUAUACAUCUUGAGGACGAUGCCAAAACUUCUCGUGAACCUCAGAGACGUCUCAACCCUGCGAUGAAAGAAGUUGUUCGAGCUGAGAUUCUUAAACUUCUGGAUGCAAGUGUGAUUUAUCCUAUCUCGAAUAGUCCCUGGGUUAGUCUUAUUCAUGUGGUUCCUAAGAAGGCCGACAUGACUGUAGUUACCAAUGAUAAGAACGAACAAGUUGCUACUAGAGUUCCAACUAAGUGGCGUGUUUGUAUCGACUAUAGAAAACUUAAUACAGUCACCCAGAAGGACCACUUUCUUUUUCCCUUCAUAGACCAGAUGUUGGAAUGUCUAGUUGGUCAUUCCUUCUAUUGUUUCCUGGAUGGUUACUCCGGUUACAACCAAAUUCCUAUCGCCCCUGAAGAUCAGGAAAAUACGACAUUUACUUGUCCCUUUGGCACUUUCGCUUAUGCCCGUAUGGCUUUUGGUCUGUGUAAUGCACAUGCUACUUUCCAGAGGUGAAUAUUACACAUCUUUAGUGAUAUGGUAGAACGAUUUAUGGAGGUGUUUAUGGAUGACUUCUCCAUAUAUGGUUCAUCUUUUGAAGAGUGUCUUAGUCAUCUUUCCUUAGUUUUUAAACGUUGCAUAGAGAAGAAUUUGGUACUUAACUGGGAGAAGUGCCAUUUUAUGGUUAGGAAGGAGAUAGUUCUUGGUCAUGUAGUCUCUCCUGAGGGUAUUCAGGUUGAUAAAGCUAAAGUAGAUCUUGUUUCAUCUUUGCCUAUUCCUAAGUCUAGUAGGGAUAUUCGAGCCUUUCUGGGCCAUGCAGGUUUCUAUCGACGCUUUAUCCAAGAUUUUUCUAAGAUGGCUCGACCCUUAACCAAUUUAUUGCUUAAGAAUGCACCUUUUGAUUUCACAAAAGAAUGCAAGAGCGCUUAUGAAAAUCUUAAGACCGCCCUCACGAUUGCACCCAUUAUUAGGCCUCCUGAUUGGAGUAAACCCUUUGAGCUGAUGUGCGAUGCAUCAGACUUUGCUGUUGGGGUUGUUUUAAGUCAACAUCUAGAUGGUAAGCCCCAUGUCAUAUAUUAUUCUAGCAAGACUCUCAAUGACGCUCAACGUAAUUAUACGACAACUGAGAAAGAACUGCUAGCUAUAGUAUAUGCUCUUGAAAAGUUCCGUUCCUACCUUUUAGGUACCCGUACUGUCAUCUUUACGGAUCAUGCCACUAUUAGAUUUUUUCUAUCCAAGAAGGAGACUAAGCAGCGCCUUAUUCGUUGGACAUUAUUGCUUCAAGAGUUUGACCUUGAGAUUAGUGAUAAAAAAGGGACCGAAAAUGUAGUGGUCGGCCACUUGUCUAAACUAGACCGUCCUGAGGAUUCUAGUGUCAUUUCUGAGAAAUUUCCUGAUAAACUUCUUUUUGUAAUAUCGAAUGCUCCAUGGUUCGCAGAUAUAGUUAAUUACUUGGCUAGCAACCAGUUCCCAAAUGAUUGGAACAAGCAAGAUGGAUCCAAAUUCCUUGCUAAUGCCAAGUAUUAUUUUUGGGAUGACCCUUACCUUUUUAAGUACUGUCCUGACCAGAUCACUCGUCGUUGUAUUCCCGAUUGGGAACAACAAGAGGUCCUUAAGUUCUGCCAUGAGCAUGCUUGUGGUGGACAUUUCAGUGCCAAAAAGACACCUGCUAAAGUAUUGCAGUGUGGUUUUUAUUGGCCAACCCUCUUUAAGGACUCUCACAUGCAUUGUACUGUCUGUACUCGUUGUCAACAACUAGGGAAAAUCACUAGGCGACACAUGAUGCCCUUAUAACCAAUACUUCCUGUCGAGGUGUUUGAUGUAUGGGGUAUUGAUUUCAUGGGUCCCUUCCCUGGUUGUCAUGUUUUUUUGUACAUUCUAGUUGCGGCAGACUAUGUUUCUAAAUAGAUCGAGGCCAUUCCCACAAGGCACAACGACCAUUAGUGAUGGGGGAGCCAUUUCUGCAAUAAAGCUUUUCGAAAACUUGUCCAAAAAUAUGGAGUUACUCACAAAGUGGCCCUUGCGUACCAUCCGCAAACUAAUGGCCAAGCUGGGGUGUCGAAUAGAGAGAUUAAAACAUUUUGAAAAAAAUAAUUGACCCUGAUAAGGUUGAUUGGUCUCGUAGAGUUAGUGAUGCAUUAUGGGCCUAUCGUACUACUUUCAAAACUCCCAUAGGCAUGUCUCCUUUUCGUCUUGUUUUUAGAAAACCAUGUCACCUACCUGUAGAGCUUGAGCACCGAGCCUUCUGAACAAUGACAAAGCUCAACUUUAAUCUCGACCAGGAAGGUAAGAGGAGAAAACUCCAGCUUUCUGAGCUUGGGGAACUUCGGAAUGAAGCUUAUGAUCUUUCCAAGUCCUCCAAAGCUAAUAUGAAAAAACCACAUGAUCGUCAGAUCUUACGUAGAGAUUUUCAAAUUGGGGACAAAGUUUUACUAUAUAACUCUAGGUUACAUCUAUUUCCUGGUAAACUACAGUCUCGUUGGUCGGGUCCCUUUGUUGUGUCUGCAGUGACACCUUUUGGUACUAUCACUUGUCUAAAUCCUGCAGACAACUCUGAAUUUCAAGUCAAUGGUCAACGUCUUAAGCAUUUCCAUGAAUUAAGGUCCCUUGAAGUAGAGGAAACUCUCUUAGAAGACCCUACCUAUUUAGAAGACCCUCUCUUACUCUACUCUGUUGUCUCUUCCUGGGAGGUGUGGUUGAAAGUGUCGGGGCCAUAGUCCACAAACUCUUACUGGCUGAGUAUAUGUGAUCCAGUGCACGCUUUUUCUCUCGAGCGUCAUCACCAAACAGACCUGUUUUGCCGCUCUAUUUGGGGGUGGGGAAGUCAUUUCACAUCUUCUAUUAAGUCUAGAGUAUCUGACUUUAAAAGACUCGCGUUGUAUAUUAGACAUCAGGAUUUCGCGCAUUCCAUUCUAGCGUUUUGUCUCUCUCGUAUCUUUGUUUAGAGUAGCGUCUAUCUAGGGAGUGAAUCCUAGUUGUCCACCUGUCUGGCUGAAGACGUUAAACUUAGCGCUCCUGGGAGGCAUCCCUGUGUAUCUUCUAAACUCAAUCGUGCGUUAGUGUUUCUUAUUAGUUGUCGGGUUUAGUAGUUAUUGGCUAAUAACUAUUUCUUUAGGAUCCUUGUGCUAGAUCUGUUUGGGGGUGGGCGUAGCCCACCACUCUCUGUUGAGGUUGUUUGGUUAAAUAAGUAUUGCAGUUACAAAUUUGAAAUUAUUUCAAUUUUUGGAAUUGUGUAAUAAUUAUUGCGUGACUUUUGGAUUUUAUUUUGACAUCUUAAUGGUACUUAUAUUCGCGAGAAUAUAUUUAUACAUUAUCACAGAAUUUUCAAAAUUAAAUUUGAAUUAUUUCUUGCCUUUACUCUUUCUAGGGGUAAAACCGUUAUUUCCACUAAUUUCAGUAGUGGGGGAAGCGUCUAGGGGAAAUUACUUCUCUAUAUAAACCCCCGGGUAUUUCUAGAAAGUCCCAAGUCACUUUCAAAACUCAAAGUCAAAACCAAGUCAACAUGGGUCAAACCAUUCAACAGACCCCUUCAUACCUACCAGAACUCGAGUCGAGUUCAGUACAGGCCAUUUCAUUCUCGAUUCGAGAUCCCAAUCAGAUCUGUUUUCUCUCUCUUCGUAUCUCUCUCGUUUCUCAACCAAAUUCAAAAAUUCUUUCGGGGUUUUGCUCCUUGUUCAAUUCUCUUCAAUUCAAUACCAAAAACCCCUAGAAUCAUGCCUCCAAGAAGAAGAGAGAGGGUGAUUAUCCGUGAGCGCGAUUAUUCUCGUCUUUUCGACGAUAAUCGUUUAGGAAGCACCUUUGUAGAGAGGAUUCAUACCCGAGGUUGGGAUGUACUCCUUGGCUCUGAUUACGAGCCAUUUGAUCCUCAAAUUGUUCGUUGUUUUUACGAGUCCAUAGAGUUGGCCGAUGACGAUGUGUACAUCAACUGGGAUCCGGCCCAUCGCUUCUUGCUGACGCCUGAGACUGUCUCCAUAUUCUGACUGCAGUCGAGGACUUGCAGCGUCGCUUCGACGAAGGCCAAGGGCAAUCUCGUCGACGACGGGGUUGAUUUUUAUUUUCUGUUAUUAGCCAUUGUAUUUUGUUUUGUUUUAAUUAUUGCACUCUUGUAUUAAAUUUUUAAUCAUUGUACUUUAUUUCCAAAUAUUAAUGAAAAUGGUUGAAAUUUUAAUUAUUUCGCAAACUUGUCCUUUUCUGAAAAAAAUUUAACCAUUCUUGGGCUUCAUUGUAAAAAUCUGGACUUUUAGAGUAAUUUUGAAAAAUUUUGGUCUUAGGGACCGUAGUCCAAAUAUUUUUAAUAGAAAGAAGGUUAGGGUUUGAUUUUUGGAAACCCUAAGGUUUUAGGCAACUUUUGGAGUCCUACUAGGGCUCAAACUCUUUCAUUCUAGCCUAUAUAUACCCCACCAUGUUUAGAAGACCGUCACUUAAAAAUCAGAAAUUUUCAAAACUUUUUUAUUUUCUGACCUGGGCCCGAACUCGAGUCGAGUUCCUUAUAGGCCAUUCCAAUCUCGAGUCGAUAUUGAACCUGGCAGCAGUUUUCUGAGCUCGUUUUGAGUAAUUCUUUCUCGGUUUUCGUGCUGGUUUUUGGUGUUUUCUUCUUUAUUUUGCAAUGGCUAAUAUUCAAAAUGGGUUGUGGAUGCCCGAUGGCAUGGAUAUCAUCCCCGAGAUGGAUUUUUCGGGAAUUAUGGAUAGUCCUUAUGGAGCUUCCUUUAGGGAUGGGAUUUUUGACAAAGGUUGGGAAGGUUUUCUUUAUGAUUCUACUGCUGUGUAUUCCCCUUUUAUGGUAAGAGAUUUUUACCGUACGUUACCCUUUGGUGAUGCUAUUCCCUUUGAUGGUUUCAAAGUAACUAUGCAUGGGUUCCCCGUAUUUAUCAAUUCUUUUUCUAUCACUCGGGCAUUGGGUAUUCCACUCCAAUUGCGACCUAUUUAUUCACAUCCUGACUACUUCCUCUCCAAUCAUGUUGACAUGUUGGAUAAUUACCUAGAUCACUUUGGCCCUUGCACUUUUUCCUUCCAUCUUGAGAAUUAUGCUAAUAUGGCACCUACCACUUGCCUACCUGCUAACGUAGCUACUACUGCUUUAUGGGUCAUGAGGAAUUUAUUAGGUGCAGAUAGGUUGGAUUAUGUCAAUGAUACCACAAUGCAUGUUGUUUACGGCAUUGUUAAUAAUUUUAAUGCUCUUGACAUUGCAUCCUGGUUAAUGGAUGGCAUUCGGAAUGUUUUCCAAAUUGGUCAGCUAAUUUACCCUACUUCUAUCUGUAAGAUCAUCCUUCGUACUUAUGCUGAUUGGAGGAAUAGGUACAAUGAUUGGACUCACCUUAUCCCUAUGGAUCCUACACAUCAUUUUAUCAGGAGAAGUCGCCUAUUCACUUAGGUGCCUAACACUGUACGAAGGAUCAUGUUUGUUCUUAUUGUUCAUUGUGAUUCAAAGUUCUUAAUACUUAUUUGCUUCUAAUUCGCGAUAUGAUGUAAGUAUGAAUAUUUGCAUGUUAUUGUUAUCCAUGAUGUUAAAAUAUUAUUAUUAGGGUUUAGGGAGACCUAGCUUUAAUGGUAGUAUUUAUAUUUAUUGUAGUUUUGUAGUGAAAUAGCUGAGAGGUGAUUAUUACAUGUUUAUAAUAUAUAUCUUUUAUUGGAACCCUUUUGUGAUUAAAUCAAAUAGCUGAGAGGUGAUGAUUUAGUUAUGAAUAAUAUGUUAAGUUAAUUAGAUUGAAUAGCUGAGAGGUGACGAUUUAAUUAAUGAAACAUAUUCAAUAGCAUGCAUAAUAGAAUUUCGUUUUAAUUAGGUGGAAUAGCUGAGAGGUGACUACUUGAUUAUUAUAGGUAUUAAUAAUUAGUUGGAAAAUCGAGAGGUGACUUAUUGGUUAUUAUAGAUUGAACAUGAAGAACAACAUGAUAUGAUUGCAUGAUUUAGAUUAUGGAUACCAACUACUCCCCCUAUGUCAUCAUAUAUCUUCUUGUCCAUAUCUUCCAUAUUCUUAAGUUAGGAUUUAUUAUUUAUUAUUGCCUGUAGGAAGUAGAAUCAAUCAUUCAUCUUAUUUAUUGAUUCCCUUGGUGUUUCUUAAUUAUUAUUCUUAAUUGUGUUUGAGCUAAGAUCUCCCCCCCCCCCUGAGGUGGGUACGACCCUUGCUUGUUACUUGUCUACUUUGAUCUUCAAUUUAUACAGGCACAAGAAGGAACUUCAAGUAAAAAUCUAAUCUUUUGAUAGUAGCGUCAAAAACCGAUUAUUAGAUACGUAGGCAACUAAGAAACAACUUAGUGCAACCAUUAUCAAUCAUCUAAACCCUAUUCCUUCAUCUCCAUCUUACGUAUUAGUGUUUUAGAUGUGUCAUAUGUGUACAUAAAAUUAGUUCCACUAGGGUUAACAGCACCCAUACGUGGUAGUGUUUUAAAUGUAUCAUACGUGUAUGUAAAAUUAGUUCCACUAGGGUUAACAGCACCCAUACAUGGUAGUGUUUUAGAUGUAUCGUACGUGUGCGUAAAAUUACUUCCACUAGGGUUAACAACACCCAUACGUGGUAGUGUUUUAGAUGUAUCAUAUGUGUACGUAAAAUACUGAAAAAAAUGUGAUAACAAGAUGUGAAUGUAGAAGAAAUUUAACAUUCAUGAAGUUAGCAAUAGCUAAAACAAUUUACAUGUACUUAGCAAUAACAUAGAGUCUUCUAUCAACAAUUUAUAACAAUCAAAGUUCUGAUCAAAACACUACAACUUGUCCAAAGUAAGUCAUCCAUCCACAAGAUAUUGAUAUUCUUCAGUCCAACACCUUGGGUUUUUCUUCAGGAUCGAAACUGCCCAUUGAGCACGUGGUUUUGGUCCCAAAUUCCCAUCUACAUUAUCUGGUACAUGGUUUAGAAAGGUCAAAGCUUCCCUGAUCAAGCCAACAUAAAUAGCACAAUCAUUAGUUUGACCUUGUCGUGGUGUUGUAGCUUCUUCCAAUGGAAGAUCCAACCUUAGUGGUUCGUUUUGCAGCUUCAUCUUAAACCUUUUGUUGAUUAGGAGAACAAGAUGGCUCUUCUGUUUUUCAAGCAAAAUUAAUAUGCUAUCAACUUUUGUUUUCUUAGAAAACAAAUAAAAUAAAUAUAAACACAAAUCAAUAUGUUAUCAACAUAAACCUACACUGGCCAUACUGAUAACAUGAUAUUAUCAGAGAUACCAAAACUGAUAACAUCAUGUUAUCAGGGAAACCUAUACACUGGACAUAAUGACUGAUAACAUGAUGUUAUCAGGGAAACCAAAAUUGAUAACAUCAUGUAAUCAGGGAAACCUACACUGGACAUAGUGACUGAUCACUAGACGAGGCGCACAGGAGAAGCAACAUCACAAAGUUACAAGCCUGUUAGGAGGAUGGGACACUCUGAUUCAGGAUAGGGGUCAAACAGAAGCUGCUAGGUAGUCAGGCUCCUGUUGGGCAUACAUUGCAGACCUGUCUCUGCAGGCCGUUUCCACUGUACUGUGUGGUUUUUGUUUCUUUUCUGUUUCUUUCUGUACAAACCACUCUUUGUAUGACGAACAGUUUGAAAUGAAUGAAAUAUUUUUACCUUGAUCAAAAAAAAAAAAAGAUAACAUUAUGGUAUCUGAUAAGAUACCAAAACUGAUAACAUCAUGUUAUCAGGGAAACCUAUACACUAGACAUAGUGAUUGAUAACAUGAUGUUAUCAGGGAAACCAAAACUGAUAACAUCAUGUAAUCAAGGACACCUACAAUGGGCAUAGUGAUAACAUGAUGUUAUCAGAAAAUACCUACACUGAUAAUCUCAUGUUACUAAUCUAUUGUUUUGUUUUGUUCAAAUAAAAUCAUACCCAUAUUUGCUUGGUCGUAUGCGACUUUGUUUGGCUUCAAUUCUUUCGUUGUUCUCAUGGAGUUGUAUUGUACCCAUCUCUUCUUCUUAAGAUCACAGACAAGAAAUGUCCAAUAAAAGGGUUUCUUGUUUUUAGGUGUCUUUCCAGAUAGGAUGGGGAUGAAGAUCAUGUCUACAUCAAUGUCCAUGUUUUCAAUUGGUGUAUUGAUAUCUGAUUGUUGAGAUUCUGGGAAGUCCCUCAAACAUGUCUUCAUAGUUAUAAAAAUAAGAGUUAAGUUAUUUUAUUGUAAAUUCCUUACAAACAAAAAAAGAGCUCAUAAAAUGAUGUUAUCAAGGAUAACUCUUGUGAUAUAAUCAUGUUACCAGCUUUGGUUUUCUUACAAACAAAAUAAUAAAGAGGUUAUAGUCUUACCUAGGCAAGGGCAUUGAUAUAACAACACUUUCGCAUUUUUGGAGUACCAGUAUCAAGAAUUUUAUGUCGAUACUUGAUGUUCCAGUAAAACCAAUUUAUAAGUUGAUAAUUAAUGUGUAAGAAAAACGAUCCUACUAUCAAAAGAUUAGAUUUUUACUUGAAGUUCCUUCUUGUGCCUGUAUAAAUUGAAGAUCAAAGUAGACAAGUAACAAGCAAGAGUCGUACCCACCUCAGGGGGGGAGAUCUUAGCUCAAACACAAUUAAGAAUAAUAAUUAAGAAAAACCAAGAGAAUCAAUAAAUAAGAUGAAUGAUUGAUUCUACUUCCUACAGGCAAUAAUAAAUAAUAAAUCCUAACUUAAGAAUAUGGAAGAUAUGGAAAAGAAGAUAUAUGAUGACAUAGGGGGAGUAGUUGGUAUCCACAAUCUAAAUCAUGCAAUCAUAUCAUGUUGUUCUUCAUGUUCAAUCUAUAAUAACCAAUAAGUCAUCUCUCGGUUUUUCCAACUAAUUAUUAAUACCUAUAAUAAUCAAGUAGUCACCUCUCAGCUAUUCCACCUAAUUAAAACGGAAUUCUAUUAUGCAUGCUAUUGAAUAUGUUUCAUUAAUUAAACCCUCACCUCUCAGCUAUUGAAUCUAAUUAACUCAACAUAUUAUUCAUAACUAAAUCAUCACCUCUCAGUUAUUUGAUUUAAUCACAAAAGGGUUCCAAUAAAAGAUAAGUAUCAUAAACAUGUAAUAAUCACCUCUCAGCUAUUUCACUACACAUCUACAAUAAAUAUAAAUACUACCAUUAAAGCUAGGUCUCCCUAAACCCUAACAAUAAUAUUUUAACACUAUGGAUAACAAUAGCAUGCAAAUAAUCAUACUUACCUCAUAUCGCGAAUUAGAAGUAAAUAAACAUUAAGAACUUUGAAUCACAAUGAACAAGAAGAAGAAACAUGAUACUUUUACAUCACCUAGAAAGCUUCCACCAUCCCCCCAUAAAGAUUUAGCUACUCAUACCAAAGGAAUAAAUAAAUAAAUCAUAAAACAUCAUAAUGGAAUUUAAUGGAUUGAUAUUGAAUAAUGAAUUGAGUACAAAUGAAGAAGAAGAUCAACUCUUCUUCAAUGAAAGUUGAUCUUAAAGUGGAGGCUAAAAGAUAAUAAACCCUAGUUACAACUUUUCUUUAUAUAGACAAUACAAAGUAGAAUACUUGCAUGCAAAGACUUCCAAACUUGGUGAAAUUAGUAGCUGCUGUUGUUGGUCUCCUCGAGGGAUUAGGCAAUCAGCAAAACCUAAUUCUCUUGGGCUUGAAUUGUAGCUUGGGCCAAGACCUUUAUUGUAAUAGCUCAUGGGCCCAAAUUGGACUUUUGGAUCUUCUUGUGGAGCCUUUUUAAGAUUAAGACCCAAAAUAGGAAGUUAGGUCAACAAAAGUCAACAGAGUUGACCAAAAGUCAGCAAAGUCCAACAGUUGACCAAAAGUCAACAAAAGUCAAAGUUGACCAAAAAGUCAAGUCAACAUGGUUGACCGCGGGGUGUCCUUAGUAGAUUUCGUGAGUGCAAAUAUCCAUUCUUCUUCCCUUGUGCCAAUAACACUUCUUUGCUUGUUUUUCUCGACUUUUUGCGAGCUUUUACAUAAUAUUCGCAUUUCGGCUAAUGAAACCUACACAAAAGACAAGAAAGCACUAAUCAAUAGAUAUAAUACAAUAAUAUAAGCUAAGUGCUAGACAAACAAGGUGUUAUUCGGGGGAUAAAUAUACACUUUUGAGGUCCGAUCAAUAAUCAGUUAGGUCAUUCCAAAGGAAAUCUACGAUGUGACUACAACAUAGAUUAAUGCCAUCACCAGACCAACAAGUAGUUCUGCAAAAUUUUAAAAAAAAAGAAUUUAAUAAAUAUUAUAUCGGGCUGUCUAGGCUGCCAUCCUUAGGAUGACAUCCAUCUUGACAACCCAUCUUAGUUGUUGUUAUAAAUGAGAUCUAAUGGCUUAGAUAUAUUACAAUCUCAUUACCUAAAACCUUGAGGGCAGCUCAGUCAUUCCACUAUCUUUCUUCUUUUCUUUCUCUUAAUCAGACAACAACUUCUGAUCUCACUAGUGACCACAGACAAUUUUCUCUCUAAUCAAAUCCAAGCUUCACAAUAGCAAAGUUCAUCUUCUUGAAUGGUUUAGGGAUGAACCAACAUUACUUUCACAUUUGGAUUCACAAAGAAGCCGGUCUAGGAAAGAACAGAUAGAAGAUGAAUAAAAAUAUAUAAGAAGAACUCAAGUAUAUGACUAUCGACGAUAUUCGAAGGUGCAGAAAUUUUACGAAGCAUUACUCAAUGAAAUCUAUAAUAUUUGCAAACAUAUAUAAUCUCUAACACUAAGUGAAAUCUUCAUUUGAAACUCAUCUCUAGAACAAAUUGUAUUUUCCCAAACCAAUAUUACAUCAACCCAAAUUUAACUUCUGAUUAACUGUAAAUUUAGGGAAAAUUGGCGAUAACCCCCCACAUUAUGGUCACUCUUGGCAAAAACCCCCUCUUUUGUCCAUUUUUGGCGUUAACCCCCCAACCCCCAAAAUUAGACCUUAUGUUGCCCAGUUUACCCCUGACCCCUCCUAUUUGAGUAAACCCCCUAAUUUAACGUCAACAGAAAUUAACUAACAGAUGUUAACUCUGUUUCUACCAACUCUUAUUUGCAUAAACCCCCAUUUAUCUUAGUAUUUGCCUAAACCCCCCUAUUUGUCAUAGUAUUAGACAUUACCCCCACUGCAGAAAUAAAACCAGAUUUGAAGAAGAAGGAAGAUGGAGAAGAAAGCUCAGAUCUGUUGACAGAAAAGAAGAAGAAGAAGAAGAAGAAGAAAAAGAAGAAGAAACUUACCUUUUCACUUGUAGAUCCUUCACCACGUUUCAUGAUUUUGAAUAGUUCAAAAUUCAAAUUUAAAGAUAGAAGAAGAAGAAGAAGGAGGAGGAGGAUGAAUGAGAGAAGAAGAUAGAGAUAUCUUCCUUUUAAGGAGGAAGAUAACCUCACAACGGAUACUUUACGCACGUUGGAUGGGCGACACGUGGACUGGUGGUGAAGUAAAAAANNNNNNNNNNNNNNNNNNNNNNNNNNNNNNNNNNNNNNNNNNNNNNNNNNNNNNNNNNNNNNNNNNNNNNNNNNNNNNNNNNNNNNNNNNNNNNNNNNNNNNNNNNNNNNNNNNNNNNNNNNNNNNNNNNNNNNNNNNNNNNNNNNNNNNNNNNNNNNNNNNNNNNNNNNNNNNNNNNNNNNNNNNNNNNNNNNNNNNNNNNNNNNNNNNNNNNNNNNNNNNNNNNNNNNNNNNNNNNNNNNNNNNNNNNNNNNNNNNNNNNNNNNNNNNNNNNNNNNNNNNNNNNNNNNNNNNNNNNNNNNNNNNNNNNNNNNNNNNNNNNNNNNNNNNNNNNNNNNNNNNNNNNNNNNNNNNNNNNNNNNNNNNNNNNNNNNNNNNNNNNNNNNNNNNNNNNNNNNNNNNNNNNNNNNNNNNNNNNNNNNNNNNNNNNNNNNNNNNNNNNNNNNNNNNNNNNNNNNNNNNNNNNNNNNNNNNNNNNNNNNNNNNNNNNNNNNNNNNNNNNNNNNNNNNNNNNNNNNNNNNNNNNNNNNNNNNNNNNNNNNNNNNNNNNNNNNNNNNNNNNNNNNNNNNNNNNNNNNNNNNNNNNNNNNNNNNNNNNNNNNNNNNNNNNNNNNNNNNNNNNNNNNNNNNNNNNNNNNNNNNNNNNNNNNNNNNNNNNNNNNNNNNNNNNNNNNNNNNNNNNNNNNNNNNNNNNNNNNNNNNNNNNNNNNNNNNNNNNNNNNNNNNNNNNNNNNNNNNNNNNNNNNNNNNNNNNNNNNNNNNNNNNNNNNNNNNNNNNNNNNNNNNNNNNNNNNUAAGGACCCCCAUGGCUAGAACUGGACAACAACACAACCUUCACCUUAUAACGAUCCAAACAUUUGGCAAUCUUUUGGAGCACCCAACCUGUCAUAUCAAAAAAUGAACGCCCACCUUUCAAUGUCAUUAAAUGUCUUGCAAAGAAGGUUCAUUACCAUGCGGAUGUUCUUGAUAUAGUGCAACCUACCUAAAUAAACACCCUUAAAACCAAAAAUCAAAAUACAAUUAUAUACAUGCAUUGUUCUGACUUAGAAUCAAUAUUUUCUGUGCAUUUGUGGUGCAGCUUAGCUAGCUAGUUUUCAUUGCGUUGUACAACAUUCAAAGAGAAUUAAACCAUUUGAAACUUCUUGUGAGAGCUCUCCACAGUCCAUUUCCAUAUACUGGUGGUUACUUGACUCUCAUUUAGAACAAAGAAAAACACCCAGAACUAUGGUAUAACACUCAAUACAAAUUAUGUUUCUAUAAAAAAAAAAAAAAAGCUUAAUAAUGAGUACUGAUCAGAAAAGAAAUAGCCUUGAAUGUCCUAAAUAUCAACCACUACAACAAAUUACAUAUACUAUGGAUAACUGCCAAAAAUGAACUCUGACAAGUAUUUACAUGAGCAUGUGAGUUCAUAAAUCAUGUUUUACAAACAAUGCAUUCAGUGGUUCCCUUGUACAAUGUUUUUGGGAAUGUUAUCAUAUAAAUGACUUAUUGGUAUUACUGAUAUUAAUAAUAUUACUGCUACUAAUAAUUUUUGUUUGACAAAUAAAAUGAAAUGAAUACCAAUGUACACUGUACAGUAGCAUGCAAUUAACAGUGAACAAAUAAGUAUUUAGGGUGAUUUAGGUUUUGGUCACCACUUUUGAGUAUUAAUUAGGUUUUGGAUCUGUUGUUAGGAUUAAUUCAGUAUACAGCCAUACCCAUUAGUACCCCGAUAAAUUAUGUACUUAGACCAUAGGAAUACAGGUGAGGGUAUAUUACCUUCAGUUUGUGGAAGAAGGAUCUCAAGAGUUUCAGGAGUGAUGAACGAAUGGGUCUAUUUCACUUCCAGACCUGAUUAUAGUAAUACCAGAAACAUCAUUUGGUGAUCUAUAANNNNNNNNNNNNNNNNNNNNNNNNNNNNNNNNNNNNNNNNNNNNNNNNNNNNNNNNNNNNNNNNNNNNNNNNNNNNNNNNNNNNNNNNNNNNNNNNNNNNACCUUAAAAUCACCCAAGUAUUUACCAAUCCAUACAAGUUGACAUUUAACACUAGAAUAACCUAAAUCCCAAGCUAUAAUUUUACCUUCAAGUAAGAGUAUUUAAGUUCUGAUUUGAUUCUUCCGCCUUCCUGAACUCCUCUAGUAUGUCCUCUUUAAGCUCUUCAUAUGUGGGUUCCAAUUUGUCUAUACAAACACAAAAUAACUAAAUUCAACCAUUAGUGCAAAUCAUACCGUAACAAUCAAGUGUUCAAAACAUACACUAAUAUAUAAAAAGUUACCUUUCUUUUUACACAUCCAAUCAUUGGUGCAAAUCAAAGCUUGAAGUUUUCGGGUAAAAGUGCACUACGAUAUUGAUAAAAAAAAAACCUACCACCCGCACUAAAGGCAAAUUCGGAAGCGACAAUAGAAAGAAUAGAUAACAAAUCACAAGCCAACCUUGAAAGUUCUGGAUACUGAAACUGGUUAGCUUUCCAAAAGACAAGAACAUCCAACUUGUCUGAUAUCUUCAUUCUUGGUUCCGCUAAGUAUAGUUCCAGCUGACUCUGUUGGGUUGUAGAACUAUUACACUCCUCGCUCUCAUGAAAUCCCUACACCAUAAAAAACACAAGUACAUUUUAUGUUAAGAAUGAUAAUAACAUAAAAAUCAUAGUGGAAAUAAAUUAAUUAUACCUGCAAAAAAUUGUUCUCAUGUAUUGUGUUGUAAACUUGAGGUUGAUCACUUCCUUGUGUUACAGUAGGUUCCGGGAUAGAAUAGGCUUUCACAUACAAACUGAAGAGGUUAAACAAAGACUCACGAACAAACUGCAUUUGUUAAGAGUUAGGCCCAUAGAGUCGUGCCUAACAAAACUCGACAAUAUUAAGUUUAUAUCUUGGAUCCAUAACCACACAAAUAACAAGAAUCUUAUUAUGGUCAGACCAAUACUUGUUGAACUUCAAUUCCAUAUUCCUUCCCAUCUUACUCAUAAAACUAUCCGGAUCAUGACUGCAUUCUGAAUAACUUGUUGAAUUUCACAAACUUGAGGAAAAAAUAAGUUGGAGGUGGGGUACAGUGUCUCAGAAAACAACUUAGUGACUUUUGCAAACGUGCCCAAGAACUUACAAAAAUUUUCAAGUUGUUCCCAAUCAUCCUUAGAAGGGCACUCUCACAUUUGUAUAAUUUGUAUCUGGGCCUAAGGACAAAUUAAUAAAAGCCACACGGUAAAAUAGUGCACUAUCAAACAUAUAAUAAGUGGAAUCCCAUCAAGUAGAAAUAUCUUGUCUCAAUCCCUUGCUAGUAGGCCUCCCUACUGCCUUCACACUCUCAUAAAAAACCUUCUUUCUAGCUUGUGAACCUUAAAUAUAUUUAACACUCUCCCGAACUUUAAUACCCGCUGGAUCAACAUCUUUCAAAUCAUCAUGCACUAUCAAAUUAAGAAUAUGGCAACGACAACAAAUGUGGAAAUAUUCUCCAUUAGACACAAGUGCAUCUCUAAGGUUAAGUUGACUCCUUAGCAAAUUAACACAUACAUCAUUAGAAGAUGCAUUAUCUAAAGUCAUUGAAAACAACUUCUUCUCAAUGCCCCAAUCACACAACAAUGAGUAUAUUUUCUCACAUAUUGCUGCACCAGUUUGUGGAGUAGGCAUGUACGAAAAGCUUAAUAUUUUCUUUCGCAAAUUCUACUCGUUAUCAAUAAAAUGGGCAGUUAAAGUGAUAUACCCAUCAUUUGCAAUAGAAGUCCACAAAUCAGAAGUCACACAUAUCUUCCCACUAAUUGAAUGCAACAACUUUUUCAGGUUUACUUUCUCCCUAACAUAUAUCUUAUUGAUAUCAGACUACAAAGUGUUUCUAAACUUCAGCUUUACUUGAUCCUCUGAAUUAGCUAAACUCGCAUACUGAAUGAGUUCUCUAACACCUUCAUACUCGACAAAUUGAUAUGGAAGAUCAUGAACAAUUGUCAUACUUACUAGCUCACGAAAUACAUCAGGAUUAAAUCUGGAUGGCUUAAUACACAAGGUUACAUCAGAAGUGCCUAUAUACAUUUGGCCCCUAUAUCACGAUAACUAGUUUUCUGACACUUUCGAGUAUGUCGUGUGGCAUUUCCCGUUCCUUGACUAAUAUCAGCUCUGAGUUUAUGGCCACAUUUUUUACAAGCCACCAUUACAUACCCAUUCUCAUUCACUCCGGGCAAAGUAUUAUAAUGAUCCCAAGCUUUAGAUACAAAAGUACGAGUGCGUGUAAUGGAACUUUUACAUGUUGAGGUUUGGUCUUCGACAUUGCCUUCCAUAUCAACAUCUAUGAGAUCGUUUUCCGUAAGAUCCACAACGUCUUCCAUCUGAAAAUUUAAGAAAAAAAAAAUACAAAUACAACUUAAUACAUGGAUUAAUACUUAAUCAGAUUACAGAAAUGAACUGAACGUAUAUUCAAGAUUGUGUUUGAUUUUAAUAUACUAUACUACUAUAGCCAAUGAUUCAUUGUCACUACAAACCUUGUCUAAAAGCAAACAAAAUUCUAAACAAUCAAAAUGUUCAAACUCUGGUUCCCCAUGUAGAACAACAAGGUAAACCAAAUUGCUCUUCACAUAUGUAUUAUCAUCAAAGGAAUGCUUGCCACUUACUACUAAUUAAUUAAAAACACUUACUUUGUGCAAUAAGAAGGCACAAAGAGAGAAAAUUAAAUAGAGGUGUGAAACAAUAAUUACAGGAUAUGAUCCAAAGUUGUUUUGAAAAUUGAGAUAUAGAUUUCAUAAAUUCAAAUUCAGUUGGUGAAAUUGAUAAUUCAAUGCCAAAGACAUUCAUAUCUACAACAACAUACAUAUACAUGUGAAGGUAAUACUGUAUGUCUGUAUGUGAGAUUAAUUAAACAACAGUAUGUGAGAUUAAUUAAACUGUAUGUGAGAUUAAUUAAAUAAAUUCAGUCGAGUGGAGAAGAAGAAGAAGGCAAUUAAAACAAUAAUCUUUGAUAAUUAAACUCCAAAAAAAAUUGAAGAUCUUGAAUUAUUAAAAAUACCCAUUUCGAUCACAUACUCAAACAAAAUAAUUAAAUUCCACAAAAUUUGAAGAUCUUUAAAGGAUUAAUUGGAGUGUUUUGAAAAUCUAAAACUGAGGUGUUUUAAUCUUUGUCAAGAUAUGAUAAUGAACAUUAAACAUUAGUAAUUGACUAAUUGUCUAUGUACUUCACAAGCUUGGAAUUGCUCAUGGUAAAAUGAAUAUUUGCUUAACUCACUACAAAGAGAAGAGAAUACAGUAUUCUGAAUACUGAAGUGGGGUUUGUUGGCUUAGUGGUUAUCUUCUUAGUACAGUAGAGGAAGAAGAAAGAGAAGAACCAGGUCGUCCAAGCGAGUGAAAAAGGAGAAGAACCAAGCGAUUAAUCGAAAUCGAUAAGUUAAAAUCCAGAGAGGGAGAGAAACGAUAGAGAGAUAGAACCAGUAAAAACUAAAACUUGUAUUAGGUUUUUUUUUUUUGUCAGGUUUCAGGUCGACCUGACGGGUCUACAAGAAAAACUUGAACCUGAUCUGAAUGUAUAUCAGAUCAAUCGGGUCGACCUGAUAAGCCUAAAAAUCAAAGAUAUUCAAACGUUUCGGGUCAAGUUAAGGUCGGGUUUCGGGUCGCUAGGUCUAAUUGCCACCCCUAGUGAUAACAUGAUUUUAUCACAUGACUUGUCACUGAUAACAUCAUGUUAUAAGCUUUUAUUUUGUUAUUAAGAAAAUGAAGGUGAUAACAUGAUGUUAUCGGUAGACUAAUCCUUGAUAACAUCAUAUUACCACAAUAAUGUUUCAUAAUUAAAAUAUUUUUUUUCUUAUUUCAAUUAGUGACAAAGAUGAACUUACUUUUCCGCCUUUUCUUGGCAGCUUUUUCCUGGAAGUCUUUGUCACUGUCAUCCCCAUUGUCCUUGCUUUCCUUGUCUUUUGUUUCUCCACAUUUUCUUUUGCCAGUCUUAUUCUUUCCUUUUUUUUCCUUUGUCAUCCUCUUUUUCAUUUUCUUUCGCCCAUCAUUUUCAUCUUUCAUUUCUACUUCGUCAAUCUUAUCUUUUUUUUCAUUUUCUUUCGCUUCAUCAUUUCCAUCUUUCAUUUCUGCUUCCUCAACCUCAUCAUUUUUUUCUUCAACAUUUCCAAUUCAUUUCAUGCUUGUUGUAGUUGAUCUUUUUAUGCAUCAAUAUGUUCCUUAUCAACAUCACUUAUAAAUGCCAACUUAUCAUUAAGUUCCUUGAAUCGAGUUUCCAAAUUAUUUUUCUCUUUUUUCACUUUCAUUUUCAGUUUUAGUCUCUUCCAACUCCGCUUUAAGCUUCUCAAUUUCAUUCUAUUUUUCAGCCAAUACCAUUUUCGUAUUCUCAUCCUCCAUGAUUGUUGUAGCAAUAUCUUGUGCCUCUUCUAGAUUCCAUUCCUUCUCUCUCAGUGAUAAGUUUAGUAAGUCUGUUACAGCAUCAUCUUCUUCAUUAUUUUUUGUAAGCAUAUUUCUUUUCGUUUCUUCCAACAGUUCCUUCAUUUUUUGUUUCCUUUGGUUCAAUUGAUCCUCUUCUAGCAUAGCAUAUUCUUCAUCAGUUGUUUACUAUUUUUUCAAUAACCUGCACAACCAAGAAACCUACAGUGAAUACACAACUAAUAUCAUUUAAUUAAAAAAAAAAACUUAUACUGAUAACACCAUGUUAUAACACAAACUUACACUGAUAACAUUAUGUUAUCAGAAUUGACUACACUGAUACCAUCAUGUUAUCAGAGAAACCUACAUUUACAAUAGUGAUAAUAUGAUGUUAUCAGAGAUACCAAAACUGAUAACAUAAUGUUAUCAACAUAAACCUACACUGGCCAUAAUGAUAACAUGAUGUUAUCAGAGAUACCAUAACUGAUAACAUCAUGUUAUCAGAGAUAUCAAAACUGAUAGCAUCAUGUUAUCAGGGAAACCUACACUUGCCAUAGUGAUAACAUAAUGUUAUCAAAUAUACUAAAACUGUUAUACAUGACUAUAAUGACAUAUAUAAAUGAUUUUGCAAUUACUAAUCAAAAUGUGAUUGAUUGAAAUACCUUCAGACCCUUCCAUGAUGAUUUUUUUUUUGUUUUCUUUGAACUUCUUGAUGAAUUCAUUCAAAUCCGAUCUUGCUAUCCUUGGAGUCUCAUUUUCAAAGGUUUCCCUUCUAGUAAUAACAUCUGUAUGCUCACAAAGCCACAGCUGCAAAGUAAACAACAAGUUAGUUCAUUAUUUUAUAGAUUAAGAACCAAAAACAAAAAGUUUGAUCAAGUUUUCUGUUUACUUACCAACAAUGUCAGUGUACUCCCACCAAUCAAUGCUUCAUUUUUUAUUUUUUUUUUCUUCAUCAUGUACUCUCGAAUUCGAGCUUCAAGUAGUGAUGGACAAGUGUUGGCCAAUCAUAAUUUUGAAGAUUCUCCAACUUGUCCAUCAUUGGAAUUAUCCAAGUCAUCACCUUUCCUGCUGAGUUGGUGAAGAGGAUUGUGGAUGUGAAAUAAAGGAUUAGCAACUUUGAAACAUCUAAUAUAUCUUCUGGAGUUGGUUCUUCAAUGUUAAGCUUCUGAUGAAUUUCCUUCAAAAUCAUAUCUUUACUAUAAUCUUUCUUCUUCCUAGAAUAAGAUUUAUUCUUCUUCGAGGAUGCCAUUUUCUUUUUUUUUCCUCCAUCCUUCUUUGUUCUUUGUUUGGACAUCUCUUUUAGGAUAGGAAACAUUCUAACUAUCCAUUCAUUUUCACUCCUAUCAAGGGAGAUCUUCUUAUUGAAGUCCACCAAAUCUGUUUCGAUGUCAUGCCCAAGAUAAGGACAACAUCAGUGGGGGGUGAAGCUCACCUUCUUACCUCCAAUCUUGAAGUAGUUUUUCUUACCAUCAUAUGUUGACAACAAAGACAAUACUUCUUCAUUUAUGUUCUUGUGUUGAUUAUCAGAGAUUCUUUUUUAAAGAAAAGCUUUGAAGAGGCUUUCGAAGAGUGUUGCAUAGAGGUAUUCAAGAUGCCCAAACUUCAGCAAUUCAGAUAUAUCCUUGAAGAAAGUUACAACACUGUAAAGGCUAGUCUUGAUGUACCAUGUGGUGUCUUUAGCCAACUUUUUCCUUUCUUUACCAGCUACCUUUGGCUUUUUGGGUUUGCACUUGUUUCUUUUGUUGUUGACUGUCCCGACUUUUGAGGGCUCUUAGUUUGACUUCUUGUUUGUCUUUUUGCUGGUACCUGGAAAAAAAACAUUGAUGUGAUGACAACAUGUUAUCAUUGGAAUUUUGUUUGAUAACAUCAUGUUAUCAGUGUCCUACAUUAUUUUGAAAUAAAACUUAAAUGUGAUAACAUCAUGUUAUCACCCAAACCCACACUGAUAACAUUAUGUUAUCACACAAUUUCGAUGAUAACAUCAUGUUAUCGGUGUCCUACAUUAUAUUGGAAUAAAACUUAAAUAUGAUGACAUGAUGUUAUCACUGGACAACUGGACAAGUCCACUGAUAACAUCAUGUUAUCACCCCAACCCACACUGAUAACAUUAUGCUAUCACACAAUUUCUAUGAUAACAUCAUGUUUGAUAACAUGAUGUUAUCACCCUUUUAUUCUACUUGUAAGAAAACAUUAUAUAUAUAAGGGUGAUUUAGGUUUUGGUCACCACUUUUUAGUAUAAAUUAGGUUUUGGAGCCGGUUUUUUUCUUUAUUAGGGUUAGANNNNNNNNNNNNNNNNNNNNNNNNNNNNNNNNNNNNNNNNNNNNNNNNNNNNNNNNNNNNNNNNNNNNNNNNNNNNNNNNNNNNNNNNNNNNNNNNNNNNNNNNNNNNNNNNNNNNNNNNNNNNNNNNNNNNNNNNNNNNNNNNNNNNNNNNNNNNNNNNNNNNNNNNNNNNNNNUUAGGGUUAGUGAUCACGUGCAGAUCACGUGAGUUUCAGGGGUAAACUUAGGUAUUUUGACAAUAUUUUCGGUUCAACCGGGUUUUUUUAGUUGUUGGUUCGAAAAUGAGCUUUAAACCCUAAUAAAGAAAAAAACCGGCUCCCAAACCUAAUUUAUACUAAAAAGUGGUGACCAAAACCUAAAUCACCCUAUAUAUAAUUUGAAAACAAAAUCUCACUACCUCUUCAUUUUCUUGUUUUUCAUCCUCUUCCUCUUCAUUUUCUUGUUCUUCAUCAUUUUCAUCAUUUUCAUCAUCUUAUUGUUGUUCUUCUUCUUUUUCUCCAUCUUCCCCUUCAUUUUUUUUUUUUAUAAAAUUCAAAUUUUUAUUGAUAAGCUCAAUGAAUUACACAAAAGUAGAGGACAAACGCGCUACAAACUGCGCGGCAAGGAAACAUCAUCUUAUCAUCUUUAAAAUUGGUGGUAAGGAAACAUGAAAAGGAAGAGACUAUGUUAUAUGUGUUUAUAGAAGAAAUUACCUCAUUAGAACGUGAACAGGAUGAUGUUGGACGAGAAGACAUUUCCUUUUCUCGUGCCUUUUGGUUUGGACUUGAACCCUAUUUCAGAUAAGAAAAAAUAUAUUACAUAGAAUUCUGAAACAAAUCGUCUAGGCAAAGCCACGAAUGAUAUAAGCAAAGUCUUACCUUCUCAGUUAGUUUCACAAGUUGUUUAGGCCACGCAACGAAUGAUUCGUGGGCAUCUUCAAUGGUUUCCAUGUUAUUUGUAGGUACUAGUAGACGUGCUUUAGGAAACACUACAUUAUCGAUGCUCACUCGUACGUUGUCCUCACCUAAACGUAUACUAUGGAUGAGUUCUUCAGGUCCGCUCUUUUCCUAGACACAACCAUAAACAAUAAUCUUGCUCAUCCUCAAACUAUAUUUUUGUCAUAAUACACAAACAAGUAUUAACACUAUGAAAAAUAUUAACACUAUGUGUGGCAGGCUUGGUCAAGUUUAUGCAGUAACAUAAGCUUCAAGCAUGGUACGUUAGAUGUCAUCAAUUGGGGAGUUGACAAUGCCUUGUUUUUGUUUUGGUCGUUGUAAUCCUGGCCAUGUUCAUCCUCUUCUCGACUACUAGAACUAGAACAUGAACCCUAAAAAAAAAACAAUUAUAAUGAAUAUUUAAAUGAUGUUAUCAAUGCUAUCAAAGUACAAGCCCAGUUUCAAAGUACAACCCGGAAUAAGCUCGACCCCAGCCAGGUGUUGCUCCCUAGACCCGCAGCGUCGUCGCUAACCAAGUCGUAGGGUGGCAAAUGUCUAUCCUCAAGACACCAAUCUCGAGGAUCACUAAGCUCCUAAUAGGAUACAACUGUAUCAGUUUCACUCCAAAGACAAAUAAAAAAAAAAGGUGAUAACAUCAUGUUAACAAAGUACAAGCCCACUGAUAUCAUGAUGUUAUCAACUUCAAUUUCACUCCAAAGACAAAAAAAAGGUGAUAACAUCAUGUUAUCAAGGUACAAGCCCACUGAUAUCAUGAUGUUAUCACCUUCAGUUUCAUUCCAAAAAGAAAAAAAAAAGGUGAUAACAUCAUGUUAUCAAAGUACAAGCCCACUGAUAUCAUGAUGUUAUCACCUUCAGUUUCAUUCCAAAGACAAAAAAAAAAGGUGAUAACAUCAUGUUAUCAAAGUACAAGCCCACUGAUAUCACGAUGUUAUCAACUUCAGUUUCACUCCAAAGACAAAUAAAAAAAAGGUGAUAACCACAGAUAUCAUGAUGUGAUCACCUUCAGUUUCAUUCCAAAGACAAAAAAAAAAAAAAAAGGUGAUAACAUCAUGUUAUCAAAGUACAAGCCCACUGAUAUCACGAUGUUAUCAACUUCAGUUUCAUUCCAAAGACAAAAAAAAGGCGAUAACAUCAUGUUAUGAAGGACAAAUCCACUGAUAAAUUUAUGAUAUCAGCCUUAAAAUUAUGCUAUAAUUAAGAAAAAUUAUUAAUUUGCAAAAUGAAAAAAGUCUAUAUGUUUUCUAAAUAAAAUUACCUCUUCGGAACUGGAACUUGUUGUUUUUGGAGUAGUUUCUCUUUCAUUUUUGUGUUCUUCACCACUUUUUGAACCCUAUAUUUUGAAAAACUGGUUAAUUAAAUGCUAGAAUUGCAAAUAAACUGUUAAUUAAACACUUGAAUUGUAAAUAAAUUGUUAAUUAAACACCGACUUACAAUAAAAAUAUCUAAUAUAACAUGUUGUUCUUGUGAUUGUGAUGUUAGGGUUUCGCGCAUUAGAAUAUCGAAUUCAUCAGAUUUUUCCAAUUCUUCUUCACUAAUUUCAUCAGUAACAUCAAUUUCUCUUAUUAUUGACCUAAUUGCACCUUCUUCCAUGUGUUCUUUACACAAAUCUGUAUCUUGUACAAUUAAAUCCGUGCACUUUUCACCAUUUCUUUGAAAAUUGCAUGUUGAUGAUGAAGAUGAUGGUGGAUUUAGUUCUUUGACAACUAAUUUCUUCAUUUCAAAAUAUAUAUAUAUAUAUAUAUAUAUAUAUAUAUAUACUAGUUGUACCCGUGGCUUCGCCACGCUAGUGUCAACUAUUAUUUAAACUUUGGUAAUGAGAAUAAGAUAGUUCUAUUGACUCUAAAAUUUUAAUCAAAUAAUCAAAUUUAAAAGUUGAUUGUAGGAUGGAUUUGACUUGUUUAUGGAUGUUUUCCACACUUACCAGUGUUAGCAUUUGUUUCUACCAUUUUAUCACAUUCUCAAAUGCUAUAAUAGUUGCUCUUGAAUACUCUUUCUUUGGAAUUGUGGACAAUGAGAUGGAUGAGAAUCCCUUUGUUUACAGUUCAGUUAAAAAUUUUCAUAGUCAAGUGUAAUAUUUUAUUUUUUUUGUUAUAUAUGUGGGCAUCAAGACAACAAAAGUGAAAAUGUGUUCACUGAGGUUAAUUAAAUGCUUUGUGCUAAAAAUUUGCUAAAAAUCCAGUGAUGUUAUCAAAAUAUACUCUAACUAUUCUUUGAAAAACAGUUCAUCUAUGAGAUAAAUUGCACUACAAUUGAGGCACAAACGCACCUGCUUAUCAUUUCAAAAUGGCAUGUAAAACUUUAGUCAAUGAACGUACUACGCUCAAUUGUUUCUAAGUCGUCACCAUUGAGCUUCAUUUUGAUGAUGUUCAAGCAGAUAAGGAUCUAUCUUUAUUUUUAAAUUAUAUUAUUUUUAGCUUCUGUAAUAGAUCAGGGAACGUCGCAGCUCAUAUCUUGGCAGCACACUCAGACAAAAGCUCACAUCUUCCUUGCACCUUCUACGUUCCACCAAACUAGUUAGAUGACCAGUUAAAACUGAAUCUGUUAUUCUGUAACUCAGCAAACUUUGAUGCUGACCAAGUUUAUUUUUAAUCAUAAUGAUUAUUAAAAAAAAAAAAAAAAGAUUAAGCCAUUUGUUUGUAAGUUUGAAAAAUCAAUUGGAAACUCCAUUAAUUAUGCAUUUCUAUCUGCAAUUAAAUUUAUUUAACAUUUAAAAGGAAGAAUUAUACACAGAGAUACAAAUGUUAAUUGUAUUAUAAUAAAGUGAUCUUAAAAGUGGGAGUUAUAUAACUAAAAACCUGCAACCUAGCAACUAAAUUGUUCAAGUUUCCCAUAGAACAGUUCACAUUACAGUAUUGCAUGCACAGUAAAAAAAAAAGAAGUAAAAUUACUUAUUCCAACAACAUAGAAUUCAAGCUUCUAAUGCCAUGGUUUUUGUUUUGCCAAAUCUCUAUCAAAAUAUCUACUACAUACAAGAUAUUUAGUACCUACUACUGCUACUUUGGCUGCUCGGUUAGGCUAUAUUCUUGUUUUAUCUGCUGUUGUGAAAAUGGUUACCCUUCAUUUGUCUUAAGUGACACUCUGCAGAUGCCUUCCAAACUUCACUGUUCAGUUCUCUAUGAGAUCAACAUACACGUACUGCUAGGCUUGUUCUGAAUCAUCAUAAUACCAUUGCAGAAGAACACAGAGUUUUCUCCAGUUAAGUUAUAUUGUGGUGAUAGCUUACAAGUCUUCCCAGAUUAAUGGUUAGAGGAACCGGUUGGAGAUGGUCUAAAGAAUAAUUAUGCACUUAUGAGUUGCAAAGCAACUUCAAUAUGUGUACAACUAUUACCAUUGGUAAAGUCACAUUCUGAUUUAUUUCAACUAAAUGUUCCAUGUUGGUUUUCUUUUUUUUAGCUUGUAACAUUAGGAUAAAAUGACCAUAGUCUUCAUACUUGCAUUAAUUCCAUGACUAUUUUUUUAUUCUACCUUAGUCUCUAUCGAAAUGGCUUUAACCAUACUUGUAGCACAGAAUGUCAUCCAUACUUCUUUAUGUAACAGUCACAUACUACAAUUUUAUUUUAUUUUACUAAGAAUAUCAAAUGAAUAACUAAUCUAUCAUUACUGAUACAAUAUUUGAGAUAAUGGUGUCUACCUACAAUCUAAUGUACUCCAACUUUUCUUUCAUCGUCUCAUGUAUUUAUUAAGUUUCUGUUUGUUGGUUUAUCAGUCCACAUAGCCUAUAGGAUAUCUAUUAUUAAUGUUUACGUAGACUAUUGCGAUGUAUUUUAUUAAUGUCUACAUGCACUCUUGUGAUGUGUGUGUGUGGUGAUGUGUUUUGUUAAUGUGACCAAGAAAAUAAAAGAAAAAUGUGAAAAGUGCAAUGGAUGAAGAAUGAACAACACCAAAAAUGAGUAACAACAUUUUAAGAUAGAAAUACUUUAAUUAGCUAGCAAUUAUUGCAAGUAUGUCAUGAAGUGUGAAUUCCACUCACCUUGUUGACCACAAGGAACAGUCCAGUCACGUAACGCACAACACUUUGUAUCCUCUUGGCUCUGCAACAAAAUAAAGCUACUCACAAAAUUUUCAAAGUUGGAUCACCCAUAUAAAAAUUCACCUUGUGAAGAUAUUCUGUGCAGUGCCUUGUUGAUUGGAAAGAUCUCCCUGUCAUCCUUUUUAAGUAACAUCAAAUAAAACAAUAAUAAAGCUUUUAAGGUGAAGUAGUGUUACUUUGAAACCUGUUCUAAAAGAGAUUGUUUACCAAGCUCUUAAGGUGUUCUGUCAUCCUGUGGUUUCUUUGUAAAGCAGUGAUUUUGCAUUUGGGUUUUGUCUAUUAGUAGAAGAAAGAAAAGUCAAUAGUCAUCAUUGUCUAUCUGAAGCAAAUCAAACAACAAAUAUAUAACUCAAAUGAAUUGACAUUCCAAUAGAGAAAGGGAGUAUAGUAAACAAUAGCUUGUAUGUUAUAGCAAAUUAAUAUAGAUACAGUUAGAUAUGAUACCACUAUUAAAACAUUUUGAUGACUAUAUAUAAUCUCUCUUUGGAGUUGAAACCAAAAGAGGUGUGUUGGAACUUCUCAACCUGGUACUAUGCUGGCUUGUGCAACUGGUUAACCUGCAAAAACAAAGAAACAUCACAUAUACAAUUUGAUCGUCCUAUUUAAUUUUAUUUUUCUCUUGUCUUACUAUUUUCUCGCUUUUGAUAUAAAAAACUCACAUCUCAACCAAAAGCUUUGAAUGGUGACUAAUUCAAAUUAAAUUAAGAGAAAAAAAGUGCCCAAUGCAAACUACACAACUUAAAUGUAGUGAUGUGAUUCCAAAGACCAUUUCUAAGAAGUAAUAAGAAAUCCUACCAACAAAUUUGAUAAAAGAUUAUUUUUUUUGGGUCCUGUCAAUUAUAAAGAAGAAAGUCUUGGUUGUCAUAUUUGUUCAGAUGGUCUACUCGAAUUUGUUCCUACCAAAGAUCAUCUUAGCGAACAAUCUUAGUUUAAUAGUGUAUUGCUCUAUCAGUUGAACAAAACAGCAAGGCAUUUGCAUUUUUAGGUCCAUUGCUUCAAGAUCUAAUGUAUGUUUAAUUGAACCUAAAUGCCCAAUUACCAUAUUUAUAAGAUAUGUAGCAGUCUUCAUUUUGUAAAAAUACAACCCAUAUACUGAUUUUCAGAAUGCUGAAAAUCAAGCUCACUUAGAAGUGGAACAAAGUUCCUUUCAAGCAACUUCCAAGACACCCACCUAAAGCGUUGUGUACAAUUGAAAAGUCUAUUCUGUAUGCAGGGAAAUAUUCACAAAAAUCAGAAUCUCAAUAACUAUUAAAAUUCCAACUAAAUAACAUUAAAAAUUAGAAAUGGGAUCGUUUUUGCUAAUUGCACAAUAGAGAACAUUCACCACCAACUAAGAAGAAUUAUAGAUAAAAACCAAAACCAUCAGGAAAAUAGAAUCUCAUAAACCAAAAUUUAUUUAGCGUCAGUUAAUGUAAUCCUUUGAAAAUUUUAAGAAGUUUUUGUGGAGAGUUCACAGUUAGAUUGGUAGCACAUGGCGAGGGUCGUGUUCUAUUUUCUAAGGGAGCGGAAGAUUGUCUUUCUUACUUCCCAAGAGCAUAACCUAAAAGCACUACCAAAGUUCUUACAUCCCAACGUCUUGAUCGAAAUGAUCUCACCAACAAUCAUUUAUUAGGAUAUGCUCUUGUCAUUAGAGUUUAAAUUAAUCAUCUGUAUUAUUCUAUAGUCUUGGUUGCUAACAUGUCACAUUAGAAUGAAAUUAAUACUGGAAUAAAAGAAGUUAACAGAAGAACCAAAAUCUAACAGUAGGAAGAAAUCCAUGCACAUAUAAAGCGUGAGAAUGAGUUAACAGUAGAAUUUUGAAGGCUUUAAAAUUUUCCUUAAAUAUAUAUAUACUAAUAACUAUGCAAGCUUUGCAACUUAUUCAGGACUAUAUAAUCAAAGAGACGUUCCAUUACAAAAGGAAAUCAAACUCUAUAAACUUAUACUCAGCUUAACCUACUUGAAGAGUUGAGGAAAAGCUAACAUUUGAGAGAGCAGCAGUGAUGUAGUCAACAGUACAAAUCAAAGGACCACGAUAGUACCUCAAAACAUGUUGAUAGAAUGGUUGUUCAAACUACAGAAUUAAUUAAUUACUUGAAAAUACAGGUAAUUGAAGGAAAGACUUCUAACGUGACAUCAAUAACUAACAACUUGAAGAUGACUGAUGUUGUUUUGAUCGAAAUGUCAAAAUUUUUAUAAGAAAAUGAAGAUGCUGGAAGAAGGGCUUGAACCUUCGAUCUUGUGGUUUAAAACCCACACGCUCUAACCAACUGAGCUACACCAGCUAAUUAUUCACAUCAAAUACAAAUAUUUUCUGAAAAGACAUGACCUUGUGUUCUAAAUAAAACUAAGCUAGGAUUAGGCAGACCCCCACCUGUAUUCAUAAAAAUAUACUUUACAAUCUAAUGUAGACAAUGCCUAUCAUGUCAUCAUUUACAACGCUUACAUAGCAGUUCAUCAAAAGGAAGAAUUGAAUUAACAAAUUACAUGUCUCUAUCUCUCGACUACUUAUUGUUGCCAAAAGUAUGCAACAAAAGUAUGCAUCAUUUUAGUUUAUUACAUACACAUUUGUAUCAAAAUACUUGUAUCAAAAUAAUCACAUUUUAGUUCCUAUUGUCUAAACUUAGUCAUCUAAGGUGGGCAAUCCAUGAUAUUACCUCAACCCCUUUUUUAUGGAAUUUGAUAGUUACUGAAAACCAUAUUUACCUCGUCCCCCUUUUUAUAGAAUUUGAUAGUUACUGAAAACCAUAAUUACCUCAUAUCUGUGCUUACUAAUAAAACAAAAAGAAAACCACAUGGACUUGUUUAAUAACUGAGAAACGGGACAUAUCUUAUUUUUUGUGUACUUAACGAUAUUUGUAUUAUGACUGGCAAUAUCUUAUACCUCUUAUACACAUGGGUAUUAAUAGGAAAGAGAGAAACUGACAAUAUCAGAUGAUUAACAAAAUGGACAUAUGAUGUCAGCCAUAUAAGACCAUACUGAACUAUUCUCAAGUGACUGAGUGACUAAGAAAAUAUAAGCAAAAUUAAAACUACUAAAAUGAGUAGUCAGAAUAUAAAGCACAUACGUAUCAUCUUACGGGCUCAUUUAACAAAUUCGGAGAACGGUUUUGCAAUUCAUUAUGAUAAAUUGUGGCUUCACUAAAUUGAAAUUGGGAUGUACAUCAUAAUUCUAGGGCCUCUUAUAAGUUAUGUUAAAAAUAAUGUGAGAAAAUGAGAUAAUACCUCUUUUGCCCCACCAACAUUAUCAUUGGGAUUUUUAGUAUCCAAAUCACCUGCAACUCUAUCUUGUUUCUUGGAACCAUAUUAUUUAACUCACACUAUCACGAAGCAGUUCCUGAAACAAUUGGAUAAAUAACAAACAACAGCCUCGUCUUAGAUACAAUAACAUAAAAGAAUUUAACCCUGAAAAUCAAAAUGAAUAGAUCAACACCCAUGAAAUUAACAGAGAAAGGAUGUGUUUGAGAUAUGAAUGAAUAGAGGCCUAAUUUGAGAAACAAUCACUGCUGCAAUUGAAUUUAACACUGACAGCUAAACUUCAACACUAUACACUCUACAUAAAAGUGGCAUGCUUUUCAGAAAAGGAAUACAACAAAAUGAUGAUUACCCUAUAUAGUAGGCAGGACAUAGAAGCAUGAAUGAACAUAUUAAAAUGCGUGCUGUCUAGGCUGCCAUCCUUAGGAUGACAUCCAUCUUAACAGCCUAUCUCUUCUGUUAAAUGAUAUAAGAUCUGAUUGUUCCGAUUUAAUUUAAUGUAUAGUCUUGAUGACUAAAGGGCAAGUCUGUCAUUUCACGUUUUAUUUUUAUAUAUCAAAUAGAGAGAGAGAGAGAGAGAGAGAGAGAGAGAGAGAGAGAGAGAGAGAGAGAGCAUUGGAUGUUACCACAAUGGAAUCUCUGAUUACUACUUUUUUCCUCUCAAAAUUAAAGCUCAGGUCUUUUUAUCUUGAAAUCAUUUUUCCCAUUUACACCAAGUCACCAACAUUUGAAACAUAUUAUAAAAUCUUUAACCUUUAGAUGGGAUGGAAAUUUGCGAUGUCUGCAUCAUCAUAACAAUAGAUAUUAAAGUGGUUUAGAAUCUUAUUGGAAGAAACAGUUAUAGCUUAAAUUUUAUCCAAAAGCUACAACAUCCUAACAAUGGAAACUGCAUCGUUUUGAAGCGUUCAUAAUUUUCUACUUAAAUUUAUUUACAAUUCUUUCAAGGAUUCCUUCUUUUAAUUGACGAAACCACCAAGCUUUUUCAAUCUGCUAUUAGAUCAAUUCAUGAUACUAACUUCAUUUUUUUCGUGUUUAGUUUGAUAAAUACCCAAAACCCAUUUUUCUUACAACUACUUUGGUCUUCCCAGUUUACUUAAUUUGAGUUCAUGGAAAAUUAGAGAACAAUCAGGAGGAAAUGAACUUAAUGAGAAAGAGAAGAUAAUGUAAACCCUUUUUCUUUGGAGAAACUAUUCGUGAGAGAAAGUGAUUUAAAAGGUACAAUGACAUAGCUACCCUUUGUGUAUUAGCUUGUAAGCUUAACUUAAAUCCUAACCAUCAGAUCUUAUAUGAACUAAUGGAAGAGAUGGGCUGUCAAGAUGGAUGUCAUCCUAAUGCAGUCUAGGCAGCUCGAUUAAAAUGAAAAACAAUUCAGAUCAAUCAAAAUCUAUCAAAUUGUCGUGAGACAAAGCUAAAGGUCCAAAAAGUUCCAUGAAAUAUAUAGCAAGUUCUUAACAUAGUCUCUAGAAAUAUACUAAACACCAUUCUGUGUCUUAGGCAUGAAUUUGUACAAGAUCAUUAUAUUGCACAAUUGAGUAAAAUAUUUUCCCUAAGGUCCAAACAGUUCCAUGAAAUAUUGCAAAUAAGAAGAGCGAAACAAAUGAGGAUCCUAUGAAUUAUCCAAUAAUAUUUUUCCUAAUGACCAACACCAUUCAUUGAGCAUUCUAAUAAAAAAAAUGAAUGGUGUGCAAUAUAAAGUUUUAAGUCUCCUAAUCCUGAUUCCUGACAUAAUUGUAGGUUGCAAACUGAAUGAGUUGAUUGGACUGAAGCGUCUUACAGAGAAGCUUGCUAUUUAAAAUCUUGACAAUGUGAAGAGUGGUACAGACAAACUUAAAGGAACUUUAAAUAAUUCAAACUGGUCUGGAAUGAACAUCAAAUAGAAGGGGGCAGAGAAGAAACUCAUGUUGAUGUCCUAGAGACUCUGAAACCAAUUUAAUAUCUCAAAGGCUUGUCUAUAGAUGGCUAUAAGGCGACAGGUUUCCUGGAUGAUUUAUGACAGACGUACCACUGUUCACCAAUUUGCUGAAGGUCUUUUUUAUUAAAAUGGGUGGAAAAUGCGACCAUUUGGUGAACCCCAUUUGGUUUUUACAAUGUAUUUAUCAUUACGACUCUUACAAUACUAAUGCUUUGAUAAAGACUAAUUGCAAAGAUUAAGUUUUCAAAAACUAAUUACAAAAUGUUCGAAAAAAAAAAAAAAAAAAACCCGAGCUCUUAAAAUUAAAUAAGAUGAUAUUUAAUGCUCUAAUGCUCACACCGGAUAUGAAUCAAACUCUCUCACGACGUUUUUGGAAUAAAUUUAAAUGAAUAAGUAAAACUUACAUUGGCUCAAUUACUGAAUUUAACAUUGAUUGUGCUCAUUCCUUUUCUCUUCUUAUGCGUUGCCCUAGCUUUGCCUUACUUAUCUCUUCAGUUCCAUUUGAAAAUAUCGAUUCCAAUAACUUUGUUUGAGAAGUUGAAUCACUACCAUAUAGGUAACAUUAUAAGCAUCAUUAUUUUAUGUUAUAAAUAAUGAAAAUUAUUGUUCAUGAAAUUAAAUAAAAUUAAAAAAUUAUAUUAUCUAUGUGCAAUCCUUAUGCAUUGAAUUGAAAAAACUUACAUAGGUUCAAUUAUUGAAUUUAGCAUCGAUAGUACCAAGGUCCUUAACACCUUAAGUUGUGCUACAAUACCAGUAAUGAUGCUACUUACGGAUUUUAGCGUCUGCCUAUCUUAAUUGAAUAUCGAACCCAAUUCUUUGUAGAGUUUUUCUCUAGGGUUUGGACAACAUCCGCAGAAGAAACAAAUAAUUGCAUGUAAUUUUACUACCAUUGAUGAUACUAUUUAGUAGAUGCUACUACAUAUCUGCCUCUAGAGAGUUCGGAAAAUAAUUAUAGAUUCCAUAUUUUCAACUGGUCUUUGGGAUUUUGGUUUUAGGUUAAUUUUUUCUUCGAAUAUACUAUUUGAGCGUUUCUAACACCAAAGGUCCCCUUCACCAAUGUCUACUUCUUAAAUUUACAACAUGGAUAAAUUGAAUAAAUUAAAGUAAUUGUAAGUCACAAUUAGAUAUUAACAAUAGUGCUGGUAUGCUCAAUAGUCAAUAACCAAUACCAAAUAAUCAAAAUUUACAAAUUUUGUGAACAUAAAGAUCAUAGAUGGGAAAUUGAAAAAUUACCUUGUACUUGUGAUCGCUUUCAAAUCAAUUUAAAUUAAUCUUCAAAGUGGCAAUCUGCAAUCAUUAACAACACAUUUAAUGUUAAAUUGAACACAUAAUUUUAGUAAAAAAUAAACCAAUUUAAUAAAAAAUGAAAGUAAGGAGAAUAAUGUUGUUAUGGUGUAGUAAUAACACUGUACAUGUUUAGAAUCAAAAUGAUCUUAGGAAGUCAAUGAUCUAUUUUGGUAUCUGAUGAAGCAAAGAAAAUAUUUUCAUAUUGUUUCUCAAUUCCCACUAUCCAACACACAUAGUGACAUGUGAUAUAAACCACCAAAGCACAGAAAUCAGGAGAAAUUAAUUAAAGGUUAAAUUUCAGUUAGAGGUAAAAUUUAAAGGGUAAGCAAAGUAGCAAACCAAGUACACACUCCAAAAGUAUAAAAACUAAGAUCUAAUAUAGAUUUUGCUUGAAAAAUUCAAUAUGUUAUUAUUACAAAAAUUGGACUGUUUCUAAUUUCUCUUUAUGUCCAAGUGAAAUUCUGUUUCACCAAGACUUUCACUUCAAAGGCUAUUGUUAUUUUAGUUGAUGGUACCACUGAAAAGUGAAAACUUCAAAGCAUCAGAGCCUAUCAUUUCAGUCCAGGUUGCCUUCAUCUUCUUUCAAUUAGGUGAUCUUUUAAUAGUUUUUUGCUAUCAUUUGUAGUAAUAAUUGUUGACAAAGCAAUAUUUUCUUAUAAAAAAAAAACAAGAUUUUGUUAUCAGAGCCCACUCUAAUUCCUGACCCUGUGCCUGAUAACGCAACAUAAACACCAGCUGUGGAAGUGGCAUAUGGAAAUGGUUAGGUAGAUCAUCAGCCAUUAAGUAAUGGUGAAGAAACAGUCGUUGAAGUAAAGGUUGUGGAGGUACUUGUCCAAUCUGUUAAAAAUGAAGAUAACCCAGUUUCUCAGCCAGGUAAUUACAACAUCCUGAAUCUAUACUUUAAGAAUUAAUCUAGCUAAAUGAAAAUAGUUAUUUGAAUUAAUCUAGCUCACAAAUAUGUAAGCUAUACAAACAACAUCCUAGAACAACUAUCUAUGCACUGCGCAAUAACUUUAUUCUAUGGCUCGAGUUGGGGAACUAUGCAUUUUAUGGCAGGGUAGCUUCAGCAGCUCCGGAGGAGAACACAAACAAUUCAGAUACAAAUGACUAAAACGUCAACAAUGAGGAAAUCAAUAUCAGAAGAAAAGAUAUGAAAGGACAUUCAUGCUUUAACAAUUCUGAACAACGAGAUGUAUAUAUGAAUUAAGAGUUGGUAAUGGAACUAACAGGGAAUGCAUUGUCAGACUAUUUUAUUGAAGACACGAAAGAAGGUGAAGCGAUAACACAAUAAUUUCCUAAUUGUACCCUAGUGUCAAUCAGAAUUUCCUAGUGUCAUAACCCUUCAUUCAAAUGAAAUUUUUAGCAAGCCUAUAAACUAUGGAAGAGAUGUAUGACAUUGAUUUGCACGAAAGGAUAUAUAUCCAAAAUUAACAUGUGGAAGGGAAAGGAUGAACUCAUGAGCAUUCGCUGCUUUGGCUGCUUUUAUUACAUCAUCCUUAGAUACAUUCUCAUCUGGCAGCCCAUAUGCAAUAUUUUCUCCAACAGACGUCGAGAAUAAAACAGGCUCCUGCAUCAGCAUAUAUUGGAGGUAAUGAGAUACCAAGAUGUGUCAAGAAUUAAGGACGACUUUAAUCAGAAACAAUUGAGUGGCAUACGAAAACAUCAUAGGCCAACAGAAUGGUGUGUUAUCAAAAGCGUACUGUUCUAUACGUUGAUAUGUUUGCGGUUCAACUUAAUAACAUUACCUGAUUCACAAUGGAGACAACGCGAGCCCAUUCACUCUUAUCAAAUGUACGAACAUCCUCUCCAGACACUGUUAUCCGUCCUCUGGUAGGCUGCAAAUGUAAGAGACUAAGAAUACAUAUUCUUUCUCGACUCACCACCAUGGUAUGUAAAUUUGAAGCUACAGUAAAAAAAUGAAACCUCGUAGAAGCGUGCCAAUAGCUGAACUACUGUACAUUUUCCAGCACCGCUAGAACCAACAAGAGCAGUUAUUGUUCCACAUUUAAGUGUCAAGUCAAGACCAUUUAGGACCUCAACAUCAGGUCUCAAAGGAUAAGAAAAGUGAACAUCUGUUUAAACAGAAGAAAAAAAAUGUGCUACAGUUUAUAUAUUCUAAAUUUCGAAUACAGCAAAACAGAAACUUUAAGAAAUGUUAUUAUUUUACAUUUUGCGAAGUGAGAGAGCUAAACAAUCGUUCGGAUUAUUGGGAUGAGAUAUCCCAAAAAAAAAAAGCAAAAAACUGUCUAGCAAAAUAAAUGUUAGUGUAUCACUGUAAUCAUGUAAUACAACUUUGCAUGUUACGACUUUUGUGGAACGGAUCAAAGAUACCUUCGAGACAGAUGUCACCAGACCAAGCUACAGUACACCCAACUUUAGCUGAUUUCAAGGCAGACAUGAAAUGCUUAUUAGGAGCAAGCUUUUCCUCAAGGAACCCCUCAUUGUCGAACAACUUAAGAUUUUCAUCAGACGCCUCCCUUUUAUUGAGUUCCCUUUCUAAACCAUACGCAAGAGAACCAUCGAUAUCAGUCCCAGACAGAACAGAAUUUAUCCUUUCAAUAGCAGCAAGGUACCGCGAAGAUCACCAAACGUGUUCACUAACCCUUGUACCUGAAAAGAUUCUCAUAAUGUGAAAGACAGGAGAUGAAAAGCAGCAGAUUUAAUAAGCUUAAAGCAUAAAAUGGCUUACAGAAAAUGUCAAUGUGAAUGUGUAUCCAAUAAAAGCAGCCACGGUUCCAGCAGAUAGUUCACCCUGGAAAAAGAAUUGUACUUACAGUAAAUUUGUGUUAAAAAGAAAAUUUUACAACUACGCUCUUAAUGCACGUAGCUUCAAUAUUACAACAAUUAAGAAAUUUUGACUGGCGGUUGCAAUAUUUUCUUACCAAAAGAUGCAAGAACAAAAGAUAAAAAUUUCCAAUUUCCAUUUGAACAAAUGUAGAAGGAUGCCAGUGAAAAUGCUUACCGCUUUAACUUUGUUUCCGCCAAGACAGUAUAAAGUCAACAAAGAAACAUAUAUCACAAUUCUAGUCACAGCUUCAUUUGCAGAUUUGAAGGUUCCAAGCUUCAUUCCACUGGACUGGUAAGCAAGAAUCUGCCCAAUUUAACAAAUAAGUCAACCUAAGGGUUCAGAGUACUUCAGUACUAUAAAGUUAAAAGCUGAGAAAUUGCCCAAUUUCUCGAUAAUUGAAACAUUAGUGCUUUUGGUUCAAGUAUCAUAUUUCUGACAAGAAGGGAGCCUACCUACAGUUCUAUAUGAAGAGUCAACUUACCUGAUUGCCAAACAUUGACAUUUGACGCUUUUCACCACCAAAGGAUCUAACCUGGAAGCAGUAAGCAUAUAAUAUCUUAAUCCUCAAUAUAGAAGCCAAUAUAUUCUGAUGAAGAAUAUGAAUUAGGCUAGUCGGUCUAAAGACCCCAACGAAGCAGAGUAUUUCAUGAAACUUACUGUACGGAUAGCUGAAAAUGUUUCAGCCACACAAUCGGAUAUAGAGGCUUGGACCAUUCCAUGAGCUUUGAAGACAGGUAUAGUCGAGCGCUUGUAUAUGGCUUGUGAUUAUAAAACACAGUUAAUCAACAGUUAUUACACAAAAUUGACCAUAAGAUUAUGGACAGACAAGAAAAUCCUUAAUGUAGAUAAAGGCUUGUCGGAAGAACAUGAAAAGCAUGAUUUACCCAUAUAUCAACCUUUAUAUUGAUAAUUAGUGAAAAUAAAACAACCCUAUUGUCUUUAAAUGAUUUGAAGUUAAGAAUACUGCAUGUCUAAAUAUAUGAAGAUGAGCUCUUAACUCUCAAUCCAAUCAUAUCAAACCAUGUAAAAUCUCCAGGAGUAUGCAUUUCCACAGAAUCUUUUAGGAAAAGGAAGACAAAAAAUUAUAAGCAGGAUCCAUUAUAAUGAAACAACGAGGAUAUUCUCAUCAAUACUCAACCUAAGAGAAGCAAAUCACAAUAUAAUCAUAUUGAUACGUAAUUACGUGUAUGUAAGUUACCUGCAAAAAUUGACACAGAAAUUAUCAACAGUCCUAGAAUUGGUGCAAGCUGGGGAGACAGAAUAAACAGUAUGCAUGUUGUUCCCACAACCUGCAAGAAAAGUGAUUGAAUGUGAACUAUGCAGACCUGCACUCCAUUUGCUAAUACAGUAAUACCUCAUCAUUGUAGCAUUCUCUUCCACAUACAUAUAAUAUGGAAAUAGACUAAGGUAUAUUCUUGUAGUCUAUUCCAGAUUUGAAAUGAACACACACAUACAAGUAAAUUGAAACUUCAGGAAGUGCAUGUUGUAGUUCAACAAUUGUGCACAUGUAACUGUGGGUAACAUAUAGCUCACAUCUGUGCAGUGUAGAGUAGCUUGCCUCAGAAAGUGCCCUAAAACCACGAUCUCUUGAAAUGUUCUCGCUCACAACAUCUUUUAUAGAACCCAAAUCAGAUGUCAGCAAACCAGUCAAUUCACCAACCUAUUGAAAAAAUAUCGAAACGACACCAAAUCAAAUAGUUUUAUCACCCUUGCAAAAAAUAAAAGUGAGACAAAAAGAUAUACGUACUAUGUUCGCACCUUGUACCGGUCAAAAAAUUCAAUCUACGUAGGAUACAAAACAAAGGGUUACACUCCACCAAAUUAAGAUCAAUAUGACACUACUGAAAAGCAUUCUGAUAAGUCACUACUGAAAUGCCGGGUAAUGUUGAUAUAUUAAUAUAUAAACAAAAUAUAGAAAGUUAUAAGAUGAAAGGAUAGUUUAUGGUCUUAUACUCAGUGAAUUGUUUAUCAAUAAAGCAUGAGAUGUCAUUUUUUUACUAACUUAAGGAAGUUAUGCAUAAGCUUUCAAUUUCAGCAAAUGGUAGUCUCAGUUCUUCCUUGGGCCUUUCCCUUGAGUGACUUGACCAAGGUAAACGGUCUCUCCAUUCUUCAAAAUUUGCAUUUUGAGGAUUAUGAUAAGUAGUGAACAAUAUAAUAAAAUCUAAUAGAAAUGAUGACAACAUGAGUAUAGUUCAUCCAUACUAAUACAAAAACAUUAAUCAGCAAAGCUAUAUCAGGUUGAUUGUGGAAAUCUAUAUCCAGAUUCUGUCAUUAUUCAUCAAGUAACAUUAAAGUUCACAAAUUCUAAGUACUGUAUACAGAUUUUUCUUUACAAUAAUUGCUGACUUCGGAGUCUUUGCUAUGCAGAAGCUUUAAUUCUAGCCCCAGUGAGAAAAUUGUAGGAUUGGUUUUGAAAUUUCAUCAAAUGUGAAAACUGAAAAUUAUGAGUGACGGGCUAAAAAAGAAAUCUAGUAUGACAACAUGGAACUUGUCAGAGGCAGUUUGAAAUCAAUAAAAAAUAAUGGAAGAUUUAUAUUUGGGGAUCACAUCAACUUUCAUUACAAUAUUACAUACCCAAGAAAGAAUAAAUCUAACUCAAGGAAAGAAAGUAUAGCAGUACCUUUUGAAUUAGUAUCUGUUUGAAAACAAUAGCUCUUAACUUUGUCAUGACCUUCUCCCAUACGUUAGUCAGAUUUGUAACGAAAAUGACAGUGAAAAUUGGCUCCAAAGUAUACAAAACUGCAACCUUACUAAGCAAUUUCCAUAAAGGAUCGGGUCUUGUACCUAUGAUUACUUCAAAAAAUUGUCCUGCAAUAAAAAAAAUGUAGAACAUAAUAAACUAAUUUGCACCUUGUCAUCAAAUCACCAAUUUUAGUUCUCGUAUGUUGACAAUAUGCUAAAUAAAUCCUACAGUAACCUAAACCAGAAACAUGAAAUGUGUUUUAUACAAAAAAAACACUGACCUAAUUCUAUGCUAUUUCUUCAACGCAAACUAAAUAUUUGUGCAAAUACUUAUGAGAGCUUUUGAAAACAAAAUGUCCCAACUUCUUGAGCAGAUUACGAUAGGAAUGGAUGUUAAAUCAUAUAUUUAGCUCAUACAAAAUGAAAAUGCUAUACAUUCAACAGCAAAAUUCGAUUAUAUUAAAACAUAAAAAAUCACGCCGUUCUAUUUGACAUAAUUUAGUUAAUCGAGGCGCCAUACCAGACAGUAUGGGCAUGGUGAGAGUGGAAGCAGUACAACCAAUAAGAGUAGCAACUGAAACAGCAAGCUGUAACUUGUGCUUAAGCAAUAGACUGAAUACAAGACCCCAAGUAAUAGUACUUCGGGGAGGAGAUUGAGUUGUCUCAGUUGAGCUAAAUUCAUCAAUUUUGGGGUCGUUUUCACUAAUAUUUGGAUCAGAAUUCACAGGCGGGUCCUCAUAUUUGCUUAGGGAAAGAAUUUGCUUACAGGCAGAUGAAGAUGUUCUCUGCUGUCCUCCUAGGCUGCUUCAUGUUCAAGCUAAAUGAUCCAAACGAGGCUAUCAACUAUAGAACUAUGAUCAACCUUCACAUUGACGGGGGACUCCACCUUCGUGCAAUCCCACACACCCCAAUAGAUACUAAAUAUUUACUCAAUGUACAUUGAAGUUGAAAUGCCACAUGUACAAGUAAAACUGGGAGGUAAACGGUCCAGGUAACAUUGAGCAGUGGAUGUACGAAAAUAUUACCAGAUAUGUUUGGAAUUCUUGUGAUCUUUAAGUAAGCCUAGUACUAACUCUAGGAGAGAAACCACAACUAUCUAAAGGUGUACUAUGUUUUUAAGAAGCUUUUGAAAAUCAUAAUAUAGGCUAUGUAAGCAUGUAAUAGUUAAAGACCUAACCACAUCGAAAUUCACAGAGUUCUGGGAUACCUAACCUUAACUAUUUUCCAGCCCCUAAACCUUAAACCUGGAUAGCGAUUAUCUGUUAUAGCUUAAUUAUUAUUUACAAAAUAAAGAGAAUGAGGAAGUGGUAAAAGGAGAAGGAAUAGAGAGGUAUUUUCUUUUUAAACCAAAUAAUAUUUGUUUAAUUUUCACGAAUUAACUGUUGCAAUAAUCCUAUGCUAAUUAACUGUUGUAAGUUUAUGGGAUGUGUUGAAACUUAAAUUGAAUUCAAAAGUAUUCAACAAAUACUAAACAAAUAACAAUUCCCACAAUUGAGAAGUAGAAAAUACCUGAGAAAGAUGAUUGAUUGAGAGGGUUCGAUUCAGAGUUUUGGUGAAGACGAUUGAUAAGUAGUAGGGUAGCAAGGUGUAGAGAAGGGACGGGGAAGAAGAGAUUGAGGAAGAGUGAAGAAACACAGAAAUUUAAUAGAAAUUGUUGACCUUGAGAGAACUAAUUACAUCAAUUUUGUUAGAAUCGCUGGAGUUCAAUUAAUACAUUGAACUCCAGCGAUAAAUAAUUACAUCAGUUUAACUUUGUAGCUAACUAUUAUAGCAUUUGUAAUACAUCAAUUACAUUUUCAGGAGAAGAGAAGAGAAGAGAAGGAGGUUUCGUAUUGUUUAAAAAUUAAUUAAUGUUUAAUUAGGGUUUAAUUAGGGUUUAUUGUUUUAUCUAUCCACCGUUAGACAUAUAUCAACAUCCUACGGUCCAUAAUAUUUCUCAAAAUUGUUUUUUAACAGAUGUUUAAUCUCUGCCGUCCAUCUAAAAUCUAACGGUCUAAAAUAUCUCUCAAAAUUGUCUAUCCGUCAAAACUGUCUCCCCAACUUAUGUACCCUUUGUGCCUUAUAACUUAGAAGAUAUAUAUAUAUUAAAACUAAUUUAGGAAAAUCUAAUAUGGCUUGUAAUAAGGUUAUCCCUUGGGAUCAAAUUAGUUAUCCUGAACAAUGGGAUCAUCAAGGGAUUAUCCCUUCUCAACCAAUUAAUCGGAAUUUAGACCAAAUUGUCCAAACUCCUGAGGGAGAUAUUGAAGUCCGUUUUUCUUCCAAGAGAAUCUCUCGUCUAAAAUCUGUUAAGACUUUUUAUUCUCCAGAACCUUCUAGAGCCUCCACCUCUAGUGUUCCUGAUAAGAUCGAUGAUCAAUUUGAAAUUAGAGGAUUAAAAGAAUUCGAAAAUAAUAUUCCUCAUGGGCUUUAUACAAGAAAUUUUAUUCCCAAUCCUACCCCUUCUGAAAUGGACUUUUCUAUUAAUACUUUGGAAAUAUCCAACGACUUUAAAAUUUAUAGAAUAGCUAUUAAUAAUGAAUUUAAUAGCCCCAAAUUUAAACUUUUAAAAAAUGGUAUUUUAGUAAUUAUAAUCGUGGACAACAUGAAUUUCUAAAAGAAAGAUAUUAUAAACAUUUAGAAAUGACUAAAAGAAUUAUUCCUUUUGCACACUAUGUGUUGAAAUUUGAUACGAUCUUAGAAUCUUGUGUUAUAAAAUACUUUUAUAAAAGUUAGACUACUACUGAUGGAAGGUGUAUUAAGUCCAUUCAUCCUCCCACUCAGUCUCUUAAAUUAAUAAAUGAGUCUACUACUUUGGAGACAGUUGCUUAUGUCCAACCUUCCUCAGAAGAGACAGAAUUAAAUAAGGUUUUUAAACAGACUAAUUAUACUAAUUUAUGUUUACAAACCAUCGAAAAACAAUUAAUCCGUAUUGAAAAUUCAGUCAAUAAACCAAAAUCUAGUGAAGAAAUCUUCCCAGUUAAUAUUAAACCUCCUCCUGAAAUAAAGUUUAAUUUGGGAAAAAAUAAAUUAAGUCAAAAUGAUUUUAUAAAAGAACUUACUAAAAAGUUAAAAGGAAUAAAAAUAGGUGAAAACAAUAUUUCUGUUUUAUCUCAAGAUAAUAAUUUAUCUGAUCAUAAUAUGUCUGAUGAAAAUAUUGAAGAAUUUCAAAAUAUUUUACAUGAUAUGAAAGAAGUCAAUGAAAUAGACUUUAGUAGCUCUAAAAAUAAAGCAAAAAUCCCUCUUACACGGACUUAUUAUCCUAGACCUACUCCUAUGGAUGUUUUAAAUGAGGAAGACUAUAUUUCGAUACAGACUUCUUACAGUGCUAAAACUAUCUACGAGUGGAAUAUAGAUAGUUCAUCUAAAUAUUUAAUUUAUGUUAAUUUAUAUAGAAUGCUUAUGUUUGCUACUGUAUGUAUAAAUUCUAAUAAGCAAACAACAAAUUGUAUUAUAGCCGGAUUUACUGGCCAAUUAAAAGGUUGGUGGGAUAAUAUUCUAACAACCCAACAAAAAGAAGAAAUUUUUAGUUCUAUCAAAAUGGAACAUGACUAUGCGGGUCACCAAAUCCAUAGUGAGGAUGUAGUUUAUACCUUAAUCCAAACUAUAACUAAACAGUUUAUUGAUAACACUAUGUCUCAUCAAGAAAGAGGUAAAGAAUUACUUAUGAAUUUAAAAUGCCCAACGCUAACUCAUUUUCGUUGGUAUAAAGAUGUUUUUAUGGCCAAAAUUAAUAAUCGACAUGAUGGAAAUAAUGAAUUUUGGAAAGAAAAAUUCUUAUCUGGUUUACCAAGAUUAUUUUGCUGAAAAAGUCAAAAAUAGACUUAAAAAUAAACAUGGUGGUAUUCAUAUCCUUUAUGAUUCUUAUACUUAUGGAGAACUAAUUAGUGAAUGUACUAAUGAAGGAUUAGCUCUUUGUAAUGAUAUUCGUUUAAAAAAUCAACUUAAAACUCAGAAUUUAACUAGAAGAAAAGAAUUAGGACAAUUUUGUGAACAAUUUGGGUAUAAUAUGCCCAUUUCUAAACCUAGGGAUAAGAAUCUUAUAUCACAUAAGACUGUUUCUAAGAAACCUUUUCGUAGAAAAUCUUCUAGUCAAACUUAUAAAAGACCUGAUCAGGUCUUCUCGAAGAAAAAAUAUUAUUCUCGAAAACAAUAUCCUAAAAGGAAUUUUAAAGAUUUAAAACAUAUUACUUGCCAUAAAUGUGGUAAUACAGGACAUUACGCUAAUAAGUGUACCUCUAAGAAUGAUAUUAGAAAACAAAUUAAUGAAUUAAGCAUUGAUGAAAAUAUUAAAAAAUAAAUUAAUCAAAUAAUAGAUAACUAUGAAUCUUCUAGUAAUUAUUAUUCUGAUGAAUCUUCUGACCAUAUUAUGGAAAUAGAAGAAAUUACUGAUAGUGAUAGCAGCCCUAAUCAGUCUGACAAAGGAUGUUCUUCUCAUUGUAAGACUAUUACAAGGCUAUUAUUGAUAUGAAUGGACUAAAUAUUAAUGUCCUAAUUGAAAAUCAAAGUUUAAUUUUAGAUAUUAUUGAAAAAAUAUCUGAUCCUACUGAAAAAAGACAGGCUAUUGAGAAAUAUUUAGAUAAUAGUUCUAAUUAUUAUUCCAAAAUUAUAAAACCUUAUUCUUUGCAAGAGGUUUUUGAUAGAAUUGAAACAAACCCUAUAGUUAAAGAAACUACUGUUUUUUAUCUUAAAAGUGAGAUUAAUAAUCUUAAAUUAGAGAUUAAAAAUCUUCAUUGGAGAAUUUCCUUACUUGAAAAUAAAAACCAAGUCACUCAUAAUUCUUCAGAAACAGGAGAAGAUGUGGGGGAUUUAUUAUCUUUGAAUCAGAAUAUCAAUCAAAAGUGGUAUAUUAAUACCAAACUAGUUAUUAAUCAGGAAUUUACCUUCGAAACCAUUGCCUUAGUUGACAGUGGUUCUGAUCUUAAUUGCAUAAAAGAAGGACUUGUCCCUACUAAAUAUUUUGAGAAAAUUAUAUAUGCUUUGAACACUGCUAAUGGUUCUCCUGUGAAGAUUAAUUACAAAAUAUCAGACGUAUUAAUCUGUAGUGAUGGUAUUUGUAUUAAAACACCUUUUUUUUUAUCUAAUACCUUAUCCCAAAUGGUUAUCCUAGGAAAACCAUUUUUAAGCCUUAUUUGGCCAAUUGAACGGGUUGAUGAUGAUGGAAUUCAUACUACCCUUAUGGGCAAAAAAGUUAUUUUUGAAUUCACCAUCAAACCUAAUAAUAAUUAUAUCCAUCAAUUCAAAGAGAAAAUGAUUUUUGCAGAAAAAAAUCAAUAAAGAAUAAUUUAAUUCUUUUUCUACUAAUUAUGUAGAAAUGAUCCUCUGGUUCAAUGAAACUAUUAUUGGAAUGAAAUAAUCCAUAAUCCAUGGAUUAUUACUGCAUGACAGUGUCUUAUAGACCAUAUCUCGUAUGUCUUAUAGACAGUGGUUCUUAAUUACUGCAUGACAAUGUCUUAUAAAUAGUGGUUCUUAUCCAAAUUUGAGAUAUCUACGACCAUGGAGAAAUUCUCCAACAGCCCUUUUAAGGGCUUCUUAUGAAUUAUUCAAUUCUUAAUACAAAAGAAUUUAGAUUGACUUAUAGUCAAAAUACAGAAAUAUCCAAAUUUAUGGAUAUUGUGAUAAGCUUUUUAUAAAGCACAACAAUUACUUUGUUUAUCAUUAAUCAAUUCAAAGGAAUUGGCCUUAAGAUAAACAAUUACUUCUAAUAGAAGUUAUAAAAUAAAUUUAACAUAGAGAAAUUCUCUUCAAAUAAGAUGCUUUUAUCCAACAAGAAAAUAUUCUUGUCAAGAUCCUGAUCCCACUGAGGGGCACCAUAUGACUCACAUGGUUUAAUAAAUCAUUACUAUUUACAAGUAUUGUCAUAAUACUUUUCCUUGUAUAUUUACAUGAACGAUUACUCAAGGUCAGAAAUCUGGUCCCACUACGGGCCAUGACAAGGGUAAAGGGAAAAAAUUUCCUAUCGAACCCGAAUUGGGAGUAUUUUCUACUGUCUUAUCAGACAGAAAAAGAAAAAUCAGUGAAGUCUCAUUAGACUGGGAGGGAACCAAAUUAUUCAUAAAAAAUUCAAAUGAAUUACUUAUUAUCUUAACUCCGGAAGAUGAAAAAUGGAUAAAGAAGCCCAUCUUUCUUGGAGCACGGAAUUUUGGUCAAGGGACUAAUAGUCCAUUCCAAAUAUAUAAUCGUAGAAAUUUCUAUGAAGUUAUUUUGACUGAGACUAAUUCAGUCUCUUUUGAUCAUUCUCAGGGAAAUAUCCCUGGUCAACCAUCUUUGGCUUAUAAUAAAGCUUUUAUCCACCAGAUAAUUACAUCUGUGGAAUGGAGAGAUCCUCUUACCACUAGAAACCUAAUAGGUCCUUUUAAUCAAGCUUACAGUUUUUCUACUCAAUCCUAUAUUAUUGGGACUAUGUAGACGCUUGGACUUAUGUCUUUUUCUACCAAAAUCCUCACCAGAAACACUUUUGGUUCUUCUAUUUUAACCAUGAUUUCGAAGAACACAAAAACACAAUUCCCAACUGGUUCUAUAACUGGUGGUUUAAAUUUAAUCCUGAUCUGGACUUUAUCGCAACAGAAUUAACCAUCAUAAAUUAUAAUUUUAGAAGAAAUUCUUCUAAUACGAUAGAAUUGCAAGCCCAUCAUUCUCCUUUUUCUUGGAGAAUUAUUUAGCCCAAUUUUGGUAACUUAACCAUUUCUACAAUACGACUCCAGCAUUUUCCUAAACCACCCAAGUAUCCCCUCAUUUUGGCUUAUAGCCUUUCUUUGGAUCUUAUAAAUCUUCACUCAAUAAUCUCCUUAUAAACAAAAUCCUUUCCAUUAUCUAAUAAUGACAAGGAUUUGGAUUAUGUUCUUACAAUCCAACCUUAUCAGGAUCAACUAUCGGAUAACCUGUAUCGACAGAUCCCGCCCACUCAAUAGGGUCUAAAAUCACUCGAUGCUCACAAUUUGGCCAAAGGGGCCCACUGAUUAUCCCCUGUCAACAAUUUGGGGUUCAAAUCUAGUCCGUAUUAUGCAAUCCUUGUAUCAGCUCGUGACAAACAAUAUGGGGUCUACACACCAGCUUAAAUCAGCCAUCAAUGGGGCCCACUGCUCACAUAAUACCCAAUGGGGCCCACUGCUCACAUAAUGCCCAAUGGGGCCCACUGCUCACAUAAUACCCAAUGGGGCCCACUGUUCACAAGGUGCUCAAUGGGUCCACCACUCAUAUAAUGCUCAAUGGCGCCCACUUUAUUCCUUUUUCUCGCCUACAUAUACAGGCUUGGGUUCAUUGAGAAGGGCAAGCCUUCGCCAGCCUUCAAACGAAACAUUCUUCUCUCUUCUCUUCUCUUUUGUAAUAUUUUCUCUUCUUGUAAAUCUUUUAGUUUUUCAAUCUUUUGGUUUUUAGUUCUUACCUGAAGCUUUCUUCAGGGGGUGUGUAACCAUAGGUGAAAAAAUCGAAUUUGCCGCCCGAAUAUUCACGAAAUAUUCCGUUUUUUGGCUAUUCGGAUCGGUACGGCAUACGACAUAUAAACGAAAUUUAAAACACCCCAUGCCGUUCGGAAUUUAUCGGAUAUUCGCGAAAUAUUCGGCAAAAAACGAAAUUUACGAAAUUUACGACAUUUUCGAUUACGAAAUUAACACAUUUAUUUUUAAUUCCCCCUGAACUAGAAUUUUCGAUGAGAUUAUCAAAAAAAGGUGCGAAAGGCACUAGACGUUUGGAAACUUUCGCGACGAACUUCAUGGCCCUCUCAAUUGAUAUAAUAUAAAGAAAGUUAAAUUUCAUCGAUCAUUUUCCCGCUCAAUUGAAAGUAACAAUUAAUACUUCUAAGGUUAUUGCAAGUUAGAAUGUAGGAAGGAAUGCAUGUGUCAUAAGAUUAUUGUAGAGCAAUAUAUCAGAAAAGAAACGAAAAAAAAAAGCACGCCCAUGCCAAAGUGAAGUCCUCUCUCACUUUUAUGAAGUUUUCAUUCACUUGUUGUCUGUUUGUAUCUAAGGUUUGUUUUUGUGUGGUAAAUAAUUGGUAUCGAAUUGGUUUUUCAUACAUAAUUGGUUUGCUUUUGUGUAGGACCAGUGGGCCUUGCAAGUUACCUUUUUGUCUCCCCACAUUAAUAAUUCUUCUGAACAAUAAUUGGUCUUUGCAUACACAUCAUUGUUUUUCAUCUAUAAAUGUUGUGAUUCACUAAGAGAGCGCACCUCAGAAGCGAUUCAUUUUACGGGGGAGUCUCAAUUUCUUUUUGCCACCCAAGAUGAAGACCAUGCUGCAUGGCAACAACCAAGAGAAGGAAAACGACCUCGACAGAAAAGACCGCAUCCUAGAACGGAAACAAAAUCAUCUAGGGUAUCUUCCCAAGGUUCAUGGAACAUUCCUGACCAGUUUUCUUCCCAAGGUUCGUGGAACAUCCCUUAUUCUCAAAGCAACAUCCAACCUACCUAUGUUUACCCUCAUUUUUCUUAUAGUAAUAUGGGAACCUCCCAAAGUGAUGAUUCCAGUGUACCAUCCUACCAAACCCAACCAGAUUUCAGUGGUUCUUGGUUUCCUAAUAUAGGGAGUUGGUUGGCCCCAAUGACAAGUGGGUCGGACGUGCAGUCAGCCGAUACAUUAAUGCCGGUUCAACAAUACUCAAGAUUUCCUAUCUUUGAAUCAUUUGCUCCGUAUUGUAUGGAUCAAGAUGCAUAUGAUAUGCAUAUUGACCAAUUCAGGUUGUACGAGCAAAUAAUGUCAUGGGAAUAUUACUGUACUAAGUUCAUCCCCACACGUAUGCGACUCGAAGCUCAUCGGUUUGACAUGGGGCGUCUAUCAUUCUGGGGUUAACAUGUCUUUUACUUUGAUUAUUAAAAUAAAACUAUGGGUUGAGUUGUAAUGAGGUUGUUUGUGUUUAGUUCUUGUAUUAGAAACAUAAAAAAGUUCUAUGAAUAUCCCCCGAUAUUUACGAUUUUUUCACUUAUGAGUAAAACUAUCUUGUGUAAUAGUUCCGCCUUAGCUUCCUUGUAUGAUUUGCCGUGUGUUUAAUUUGUAAUGUAUGUUUUUCUUUUAAUUAUAAGUUUAUAUAUUGAAAUGAGAAGAAAAACACGAAAAUGCAGAAAACCUCCCAAUUUUCCGAAUUUUUCGCGAAUAUUCGCGAAUAUCCGCGAAAUCUUCCGAAAAAUUGGAAUUUACCAAAACUCCCAUAUCCGACAUGGGAGGUCAGAUAUUCGCGGAAUAUAUCGUUUUUUGGGAGGUCGGAUAUCCGCGUUUAAACGACAUUUUCACCUAUGUGUGUAACUACUUGUUGUACAAUUAGUGCAACUUUUACGUGAACAAAGCUUUCUUCUGGGGUGUGUAACUACUACUUGGUUGUACAAUUAGUACAACUUUUAUGUAAAUAAAGCUUUCUUCUGUAAGUUUAUGAUAUAAAUCUUCCGCUUCUUUUCUGUUCUUUUCCUGGAUUAAAAUUGGUAUCAUAUAUAUAUAUAUAAAGAGAGAGAGAGAGAGAGAGUGAGAGAGAUCAGUUUCACGAAGAUUGGCGAGGAGAUAUAAAGAGAUGUGGUUUUAAUUUUUUUUUUUUUUUAUUUAUUUACAAUGGUAGGAGAGAGAGGCGAUUUUAGAUUUUUUUUUUCCAGUUAUAAAGGGUAUUUUAGAUAUUUAGGUCGGACAGAUUAUUUGGUUAGCCCCUGUCCUAGUGUCCUGCAUACUAAUUUGAAAAUAAGUUCUUCUCCUGGAGCCCAAUUCUCUGUUCCCCAAAGUGGGCUUGUUUGGGAAAAACACGGGCAAACAUUUGCUUGUCGGAGAAAUUACCCUUUUCUUUUCCAUCUAUCUCCUUCCUUUUACAAAACUUAAAAGUUUCAAACAGACCCUUAUUCUCUCUCUCUGUGUGAAGUCUGAAAUAACUAAUCAGGUCAAUACUUGUUCUUCUUCUUCUUCUUCUGAGCUCUGCUUUUCUGUGGAGCGGUUUCCUUCCUCUUGACCGAAAAUGGAACCAGUGGCAGAAAAACUCAAAGGGUUCUUCCAAUCUACUCAAGAUUUCACCAUGGGUUUGUUUCAAAAGCGUGACAAAUCAUCAUCGCCUCGUUGUAAUCCGGUACCUCUUUUGUCUUUUCUUUCCCUUUUAAUUUCCAUUUCUUGUCUUCUUGAUUGAUUGUUAAUCUUUUUUUUUACAAUUUUGUUUAAUUGUGAAAAUGAAAAUAAAAUCUAUUGAGAGAAGUUUAAAAAGUCAUUAUUGAUUGUUUCACUGGAGCACUCUUCCAUUAGAAUGUUGUUAAUUAUGUAUUGAUAUAAUGAUUGCAGUCCAUGACGUCUAAACGAGAAAAUAUAUAUAUGUGGAAUUGUGGAAGGAAGGUUAACUAAUAACAAACUUGUGCUCAAGUUUGUUAUAAUCUAGUAAAGCAAUUGGAAUGAGCUUCACAAUUGUUUUUUUUUUUUUUUUUUUAAAAAGACUAGUCAUCAGUCAAGUUAGUUCAUUAGGAAAAUAUUCCAUUGGUGUUUGAUUUCAUUGAUCCAGGCUUGUUAAUUGUUAUGUUGACAUGUGUAUUAGUCCCAUAGGUAGCAACAAGCUGUAUGAUGGAGCUUUACAACUUUUUCCAUUAUAUUCUUUUCAGAUUGAGAUUUUGAAACGAUUGCAACGAGAAGCAUUUUCAGAUAUUAUGAAACUAAGGGACAGACAGGAAAAGGUAGAGCGAAUGCUUCUAUUCCACAAAUCUACCAAGGGAAGUCCAUUCCAGGAACUUACCACCCAUGUACAGGGAAUGGUAGAUGUGGCAGGAGCAUUACUCUUUGUGGACGAAAUCGAUCAACAAAGCUGUGAUACAGCAGGAAUGAGGACAGGAAUCAAUUCAAAGUUCAUAUUUGAAACAAAUAUUAGACAAAACGAUUCUCUUGUAGCAGAGUUUGUAGCAUGUCCAAAUGCCCAGGGCCCAUCUGAUGAAUAUUUUGGGAGCCCACUAUCGCUGACAAAAGUGAUGUACUCUGCAAAUGUUAAGGACUGGAUUUCUGCUGUUGUAGUUCCAUGGGGUGCUCGAUGUAGAGAUGCAGUGAUUACUUCAAAUCCCUCGCAGCAGGUAUGACCUGCUUAUAUUUUUUUGGGUGAGCAUCCAUGUUUUUAUUUUUAUUUUCUCUGUGUGGUGAUUGAUGUAAAAAUCCAUUCGUUGUGAUUGAGUGCCACCAAUGCUAUGCAUAGAUGACCCAAACCAUAGUUAAAAUAUAAGAAGUUCUUGCCAAAAGUACUGAACCUGUUUUGCUGAUCCCCAAGUAUCUGGGGAAAUUUCAUAUUCUCUUGAUUAUCAUCAUGAUACACUUUAUUUAUAAGGCAUAAGGAUAGUCAGAUUGUCUUCUUGGCUAUGAUCUCUUCUUGUUUGUACACACUUAAGGUGAAUGAACUGAAACAACGAACAAAACUCAGUUAAUAGUAGAGAUGCUCUAGUAAACUGUAAAUCAUACGAUCAUAUUAAUUAUUGUUUACUUAUCUUUUUUUGAUAACUAAUUGUGCUUAUGUUGUCAGGAAAGAAGCCUGACUGACUUUUCUUCCUUUGGGCCACCAAUGUUGAACGAAUGUCAUGGCUCUGCUGUUGGUUUAAUGGUGAAAAGGACAAACAUUGCUGCUUCUUUAGCUGGACUUGUUUCUGAAAAAAGACUGGAGCUUGAUUCCGAAAUCACACAGCUUGGUCCCAUUCAAACCAGGAAUUGCUUCAGCACAUUUGGGCAAGUUAUAUACCAGCUAUCUAAGGGAACAACACUGACUCUAUUAGGGAUUCACAAAAGACUGAUCAAACCAUCUCAAUGUUCAAGCUUGCGCAAAUUUACCAUACCUUUAGGAAGUUUAAAACGCCGUGAGGCUGUUGAUGCACCUAUAUUACCCAUCGCAUGGAAUACAGAGGGCAGUGGGUCAAUUGCUUUAAUACUAGAGUCUGAACUUGAUGACAGUACUAGGGUUGGAGGUUGGGUAGAGAUGCAGAAUUCCAAUUCUAGGUGUUUGCAGUGGGCUGUUAGCAUGUCUGAUACACCUGAAGAUGAGCUAGGAUGGGGUUUGAGCUUGGGUGGGAUCACACAAGGACCAUCCAGUUGGGAUCAUUUCCAGGCAGAAGCCUUCCUAAAGUAUAAUAUGGGUAAAAGAUGUAGCUUGCAGCCUGGUAUUGUUUAUGUGAUGGAUGGUACAAGACGUUUCCCUGCCUUAAUGUUUCGGUCAAGUUGGUCUCUGUAAUCAGGUUUCACAUCAUUAAAAGAUUAUUAAGAAAAUUAUGAUAUUUUUGGAUUUUCCGUUCAAAGGUUAGUAUUAACUUUUUGUUUUAGGUGUAAUCAGAUGGGGUUACCCAGAAUUUGUACUUUUAUUAAACUAAUCGUUAAUGCAAGCGAGCAAAUUCAUUAAGAUCAACAAUCUUUGGCUUAUCUAGUAGAUAUUCUGCUUGAAGUUUUAUAGGAUUAGUUUCCCAUUAUGUCAUUGAUGUUUAUUCUUUUCUUUUGGAUUGGCUAAUUAAAUUUACCUAGAGGAUUGUCCAUUUGGCUUUUUUUUUUUUAUCAUGAGUCAUGGCUUCAGCUGAAAAGGACAAAUAUGUCCUAACUUCACCUGAAGAUGGAAAGGAAGAGAAGACAAAGAAGACAGGCAAGAUGGAAAGGAAGAGAAGACAAAGAAGACAGACGGCCUUUUUCUCUCACUCUGAAUUUAAAAAAAUAAACGAACCAAAAAGUAGAUAAAAACAAAGGUGGUAAUUAUUUCUGGAAAUUAUUUCUUGAUUUUUUGGCAGUAAAUCAAGUGGUUAUCGAAAACCUCAAAGUGCGCUGGUAAGCUAAGCAUCAUCACCACUUUAAUUUACAAUUAUAGAUUUUUUUUUUUUUUGAUGCAAUGUUUUGAUUCUUUUUGAGCCAUGGGUAUUAGUUUUUUCCAUUUAUUGUUGAUUUUACAUGAUUCUUUUGAAGUUAGACCAAUAUUAACGUGUUCGUAUUGUUGAAUCUCAUUGGGAUGUUUUACUUGCUUUUUAUUCUUAAUUUUUGGGUUUAACUUUUAACCCUUUUGUGUUAUACUCAUGUGGUGUGUUUGUGUAAGUUGACUGUUUUUCUUCCUAGCUUAUUGGGUCCUAAAAUUUGUGAAUAUAUAUGUGAAAUUUAAAAUUUCUUAUGAGUAAAAUUGUCUUUUUGGAUUAAUACAAAAUACAUUUUCUUUUCUCAGGAUUAAAUUCUGUCCUCUUUUCAUAUACCGGCAAAUCUGUGAGCAUCAAGGCAUAUAUAUGAUUUGCACCCACAAAUGUUUUGAUACGAAAAACAUAUAUUAUAUAUGAAUAUCAUAUAUGUAGUUAGGCUGUUUGGGUCCUAAAUUUUGGUUAUCCGAAAACUGUCACUUGUGAUCAAAAUUAGACCAACCUUGUCAAUUUUUCAUAGAUGGGUCGUUGUGAGGCACAGGGAAAGUCUUGUUUUUUAUAGUUACCAUGAUGUCGCUCGUAUGAUAUCAUUUGGUUUGGCCUUUGAUAUCAAGGAAUUCUUGAUGAUCUAAUGCAGCUGUAUUAUAUUGUGAUGUUUGUUCCGAUACACUCUGAUGGUUCUAUAAUUUAAAGUUAUUGUAAUAAUGUUUACACUUUACACUAUCUUGUGAAGAGCUGUAGACCAGAAUUCUCUUUCAUUCUAAGAGACUGCUUCAGUCAGCUUCAAUUUUAAUUAACGUAUUCUGAAGCCCAUAUGGAGUAAUUGUCUGUCGUUGUCGUAGUUCACUUGAUUGUAUUAGCUCUGGUUUGUGUAUUUUCAUCUUAAUGAACAUAUUGGUUGCGUUGACAUUUGAAAGGGAAUUUGGGGCAGGUUCAAAUGAAAGUUUUGCCUCCAAAUGAAGAAGUUGUUGGGAUUACUGCCACAUGAGCUGCUGCCCAUGGGAUUGCAGUGGCGUUAGAGUUCAAACCUGUUGAGCAUCCAUCUGAACCUAUUGACAAUGAUCCAGUGGCAGAGAAACUCGAAGGUUUGGUCCAAUCCAUCUCCCCUUGUUGUAAUACAGUAUCAAUUUUGUUCCUUAUCAUUGAUAAGACUUGUUGAUUGUUAGGAUUCCAUCAAUGGUAACUCUAAGAAACGAAUUUCCAAAAUUUUGAUUGUUGCCUUAAUAGACACACACAGAGCUUUAUUUUAUUUUGUUUUGUUUUUGUCAAAAUAAAGAUAAAAUCUAUAUCUAUUUUAUAUAGAAUGAUUGAGGUACAUAUAUAAUAUAGUUAAUGUCAUAUGUAGUAACGGUAAAACCCAAUAAUCCUUACAUAAAAGCGUUAAAAUCUUGACGGGUUAUAAGGAUUUUACUGGUAUAAUUUAUGCUGGAGCAAUCUUUGUCUAUUUCUAGAGUUUGGAUUUUUGAAACAUGAAUCACAUGAGUUUGCCAAUAUGAGAGAAGUUUAGAAAGACAUUGAUGAUUGGAUCCACUGGAGCAGUCUUCCACUGACUUUUAAUCCAUUUCAAUUGUUAUCACAGUUGUCGAUAUUCGUCACCCAAAGUUCAUUUGCUUCAUGGAGUAAUCCAGGAAGUAAUUAGCCAUUUAUAUAAUGAUCGCAGUCUAAGACGACAUAUAUGGACCUAUGGUGUCGUCGAAGGUUAAUGAGACCAGUAGAGAAGUAUAAUAAUUCAUACUAGAAAACGAAUUACAGACUUGUGCUUAAGUUUAACACUCAUCCACUUUUCAGAUAAUUUUCCAUGUUAUUUGUCGGUCUUGGUAAACUUAAACUUAUUAGCCUGUUAGAGGAACACCUAUGUUAUUCAUUGUGACACUUCUUUUAUGACAUCAUCCGCCAAUCCAAAUGGUCUUAUUAGCCUGUUAGAGGAACACCUAUGUUAUUCAUUGUGACACUUCUUUUAUGACAUCAUCCGCCAAUCCAAAUGGUCCCAAUUUAUACUCUAGUUCUGUUCGUAAAUGAACUGGGAACUAGGCAGGUAUGAGUAACCUUCACACUCAUUUAAAGGCUUGAGGCAAAAAGUACUAUGAUGUAUGAACAUCUCAAUUCAUGUCAUUCAAGGUAAAAGCUAACAUCCAUAAAUACACAGAUUUAUGCUAGUAUAGGUUUUGGAGUGAGCUUGACAACAUUUGUGCCAACAGACCAGUCAAGUUCAUUUCUUAGGAAAGUGAGCCAUUUGUGCGUGAUAUUGUUGCUCCGGUUGUUAUGUUGACAUGUUGCUGGUUCCUAGGUAGCAACAUGCUGUAUGAUGGAGCUUUUCAACUCUUCCCCAGUAUAUUAUUUUCAGAUUGUGAUCUUAAAAUGAUUGCAACUAGAAGCAUAUUCAGCUAUUACAAAUAGGUGGAGCGAAUGCUUCUAUUCCACAAAUCUUUCAAGGGAAGCCCAUUCCAGGAACGUAGUACCCAUGUAUAGGGAACGGUAAAUGUGGCAGGAGCUCUACUGGAUGAGAUUGAUCAACAGAGCUGUGAUACUGCAAGAAUGAGGACAGGUAUUAAUUCCAAGUUCACUUCUGAAACAAAUAUUUGACAAAAAUGAUUUUCUUGUAGCAGAGCUUGUAGCACGUUCGAGUGCCCAGGGUCUAUCUGAUCAAUAUUUUAGGAGCCCACUAUCACUUACAAAAGUGAUGUACUCCGCAACUGUUGGGGACUGGAUUUCUGCUGUUGUGCUUCCAUGGGGUGUUCGGUCUGAUGAGUGAUGAUGUUGCGAUUGCUUCAAAUCCCUUGCAGCAGGUAUUACCUGCUCCAUUGUUUUGGGUGGGCGUUUUGUGUUUUUGUUUUUCUGCCGAAGUAUGUGGUGAGUGAUAAAAACUUACAUAUGAUGUGAUCGAGUGCCACUGAUUUGCUGAUCCCCAAGUAUCUUAGAAAUUCUUAUUCUUUUAUUGUCUUAAAAAUGCACUCUACUGAUAAGGAAUACAGAUAAUCAGGUUGUCUUCUGGGCGAAGAUCUUCUUUGGACACAUAAGCUGGAUGUAUUGAAACAACGAACAAUAGCACUCCACAUUGAUAAUAGAGAUGUGCUACUAUUGGAACUUAAUACGAGGGCAGUAAACUGUAAAUAUAUGCUUUUCAGUGAUCAUGUAAUCUUAUGUAUUUAUGUAAUCAUAUCAAUUAUUGUAUUCUUCUUGAUCAACUAAUUGUGCUUAUGUUGUCAGGAAAGUAGCCUGACUGACUUUUCCUCGUCCGGGCCACCAUUUUUGGACGAAGUCAUGGCUCUGCUGUUGGUGUAAUAGUGAAAAGGAAAACCAUUGCUGCUUCUCUAGCUGGGCUUGUUUCUGAAAAAAGACUGGAGCAUAAUUCUGGAAUCACGCAAAUUGGAUCCUUUGAAACCAAGAACUGCUUCAUCCCAUUUGGGCAAGUUAUCUACCAGCUAUCCACGAGAACAACAUCGACUCUCUUAGGACUUCACAAAGGACUGACCAAACCAUCUCAAUGCUCAAACUUAUGCAAAUUUUCCAUGCGUUUAGGAAGUUUAAAGCUUAAACGCAGUUGGGUUCUUGAUGUGUCUGUGUACGCACCUAUAUCACCCAUCACAAGGAACAGCAUGGACUGUGGCUCCAUUGCUAUAAAACUGGAGUCUGAAAUUGAUGACAGUACUAGGCUUGGAGGUUGGGUCGAGACGCAGAAUUCCAAUUCCUCGUUGUUUGCAGUUGGCAGUUAUCAUGUCUGAUACACUUGAAAAUGAGCUAGGAUGUGGGGUUGAGCUUGGGUGGAGUAACACAAGGACCAUCCAGUUGGGAUCAUUUCCAGGCAGAAGCUUUCGGGUCAGAGGCAUGGUACAAGACUUUGCUUCUGUCAAGUUUGUCUUUGUGAUCAUAUUUCAACAAUCUUGAAUAUGUUUCAUUUGAUAGGUCUGUUUUAACUUUCCCUUUAUGUGUAAACUGAAAGGGGUUAACCCUUAAUUUGUACUUUUAUUAGACUAAUGACUAAUGCUAGCAACAAGCAUAUUAGAUUGAGAUGAGAUCAACAAGUUUUGGUUCAUUUAGUUGAUGCCACUGUAUGAAGUUAUCAAGAAUGAGUUUUCAUUUUUUUUUACUUACCCUAUUGUUUUUAGGGCAUUUUGGCUAAAUUAAAUGUACCCAAACUUUGGGACAUUGAAAUAUCUUAUCCUGACAACAAAAUGGGUCCACAGAGAGAGCACCUCAAAACUCAGUAACCCACUUGAAUUCUAGACCUCUUGAUAUGCAGUUGGAGUGGUCCAGACUCCAUAGGGCACCUUGAAAACAUAUCAAACCACAGUAAGUAAAGUAAAGGGAGAUGCAUGAGACAUUGAGACCUGAUGAAAGAAUCCAAAACGCAACCUAUUAUGUGAAGCAACCUUUUUUAUCAUUAGCGAAAAGUACCAAUAUGUCCUUACUCUACCACCUGAAGUUGAAAAAAGUUCAUACUGUUAUUACUAUUUAACAUAAAACUCAGCUAAUAAGCACCAGAAGAAGAGAAGAAAAAGAAGACAGAAGAACUCUAGUCUCUUACUCUGAAUCUGAAAAACAAUUAAACAAACUAAAAAGAAAGAAAGAUCAAAAUGGUGGGAAUUUUUUCUCGAUUUUCUGGAAGUAAAUCAACUGGUCAUCGAAGAGCUCAAAGUGCAGUGGUAAGCUAAUUAAGAAUCAUUACUACCCCUUUUUCAUCACUUUGAUUUCAUCUUCUUGAUUGCUUUUUGAGUCAUGGGUGUUCAAUUUUUUGCUUUUCUAGUUGAUUUUACAUGACCCCUUUGAAUUUAGACCAAUAUUAAUCUCCUUUGAAUCUUAUUGAAAUUUUUUUAUUCAUGAAUUUUGGGUUUUAGGCCUUUUUUCUUCUAAUAAGUUUGUGCUUGUUCUUAUGUUUAUAUGUGGGUUCAUUAUUUUUCUUCCUAUCUUAUGGAAGUCUCUUACUCUUUUAUGAAAAAAACAUUUCAUUAUCUGUCCUCAUUUCAUAAACUGGUGAAUCUGUGAGCAUCAAGGGCAAGGUAUAUCAAUGAGGUGCACUGUGUACUCACAUGUAUUUAGGAACAUUCAAUUGCUUUAUUUGAAAUUAGUUAGGCUGUUUAGGUCCUAAAUUUGGUUUAAUGGGAAACUGUCACUUUUGAUUAAAAUUAGCUUGACUUUGUUAUUUUUUCCUAGAUGGGUUUGUUGUGAUUUGGCACGCGAAUUGAUCUUGUUUGGAAUUUCAUCAUGUCAUUCAUACAUUUUUAUAUUUACUGGAUUUGGCUUGUUGUAUACAAGUCCAAUGCUCAAGUAUUUUCCUGAAUUAAUAUUUAGGAAUUUUUGCUGAUCUGAAGCGCCUGUAUUAUAUUUCAAUGUUUGAUUUGUACACUCUGAUGGUUUUAUUAUUUAAAGAAAUUGUAAUAAUGUUUACACUAUCUUGUGAACAACAGUAGGCCAUAACUAUCUUUUCUCUUUCAUUCAAAUAGACUGCUUUUGUCUGCUACAAUUUGUCAUUAACCUGAUCUCAAGGCAAUUGGGAGUAAUUGUGUGUAGUUAUCAUAAUUUCCACUCGAUUGCAAGAUCUGGUGUGUGUAUUUUCACCUUUAAUGAACAGGUUGGUUGUGUUGACAUUUUAAAGGGAUUUGUGGACCAGGAUCAAAGGGAAGUUUUGCCGCAAAAUGAAGAAGUUGUUGGGGUUACUGCUACUUCUGCUGCUGCCCACGGGAUUGCUGUAGCCGUAGAGUUCAAACCCGUUGAGCAUCCAUCUGAACCUAUUGACAAUGAUCCACCUGUUAGAUGCCCUUUACCAGAGCCUUCAAUACUUAAUGUAAGCUCAAACCUAUAUUACAUUAGAAUAGUAUUUCCUUGAAUGUCAUUAGUUUUAAGUUGUGGCACUAAUUUACCACAAGAGUAUUUUCUACUGCUUAAGCUUGAUAUUCUCUGUGAGAAAUAUGAUGCUUUUGUGCUUCUUCAUUUGAUUUUGUAAAUGUAAAUGCUAAGCAUUAAUAGAGUAUAGAUUAGGACAUUUAAUCUUUUUAAACCUUACAAAUUAGGAGCUUCAACCUCAAUCAUGUUUUUGUAAUUCACAUAAACUUUAGUUGGGAAAACCAAAAUAUGUUCGUGUGAUGGAGGGUAGGUAACUAGGUAAUUCCACAAAUAUAGUGACAAUUUUUUCUUCCUGUUCGGGCAAUCGAAUUCUCUAAGCCAACAGUUUCUGUAAUAAUUAUUGGUCUGUUUUCCAACUUAUGUGACCUUUAAUCUUGUCAUCAACAUUAUUCAGAUUACCAUAGCUUGGGAUAUAAUUAUACAACUCCAUCUGUUUCAGUUUCUUCUGCAAUUUUUUAAUUUUCAUUCACUUUUUCCUCCUCGGCAUCCAUCUGUUGCUACAUCUAUUCGUCCAAAUUUUAAAUUUAGGUUGAGACCUAUUUGCAUGUGUAAUAGUUCACCUUGAUUUUUUGGUUCCUAAAUGCUCUUCGACUAUUUUUGCCAAAUGUUUUGGGUAUUUUGGAUACUUACUACAAUCACCAAGCACCUCUUUGAUCCAAAUUGAAAUUGUAUUUUACCCUUAAAAGAUGGCGUGAUAGUAUCAGGCAUGUCAUUAGUCUUUCACAGUAGAUUUUUGUGGUGAAACAUAUUGCAAUAGUUCUGCAUAAGCUUUGUUAAUAUCAAAUUGCUCAGAAGUUUCGUCCUUGCCUUCAUAUUUAGUGUCUUAUACUUCUAUUGUUAGAGUUCUCCAUGUUUCUAUUAUAGGUUGCCAAUUUUUCUAGGGUUAUGUAAACUUUGCUCAAUAUUAGAACAGAUAGAGGCCUAAUUUUGUUAAAGCCUCUUUCUCCAUCUCAUACAAGUACAUCUGUUUGUUAUUAUUAUUAUAUAAGACAGAUAGAGGCCUAAUUCUUCUCUUUCUCACACACACACACAGAAAAAAAAAAUCAUCAUCUUCUUCUUCUUCUAGUUACCUGUGCCGAUAUAGUUACCUGUAUGCUGUUGAAGGCUUUCUGUUUUGUAUGUAGUGGAAAGGGAGCUUUAAUUAUGUAGUGGAAAAAGAAUAUUGUUAGGUGAUCCAAGCAAACUUAAAUUAUGUGGUGGAAUGGGAAAAGGGGUAAUAUGUUAAUGCUUAGGGAGUAAGAAAGACAUUUCACCUGUGUAAGCACUCAGCAAUGCACGAUAUUUCUUAUGUUAAUGCUUAGGAAUAUUGUUAGGUGAUUCAGACUACGGUCGAAGCCAAUUACAAAGGUUCAGAGGAAAAUGAGACCCUUUCAAGGAGGUGAUUGAGGCAAUACGGUAAUAACCUUUAGAGCUACCUGUCCUUAUCAAGCGUCUGCUCAAAAACAGGGUUUCCCUUAAUAUAUGGGGUGGGACCAGGUCGGAUUAGUAGCUUGAGGGUCGUGUGUUUCGAACAUAAAACACUUUUGGCAUUAGCUCGGGGUUAUCCAAUUAAAUAUCAAUACAUUUAGAUAUAGUGUGCGGUUUAGAAAAUGUGGAGAGUCUAUACAAAAAUUUCAGUAUGUAUACCCAUUUUGUUGAUUCUGCCAAAAGUCCAAAACACAUGCAUCUAACAAUGAUGUGUAGGCACUUGUUUUCAUAUUCUUUGUCUUCUAAUAUUUGGUGCAUGGUGGUAUUCAGGACGGGAGAAUAUGGAAGGAACGGAUGUCAGCGACUGUACAGAGGACUCCUGACCUGCCAGUUCCAAAAGAUGGGGAGUCCCCUGAAACUGUGUCAAAUGGAACACGGCCUCGUCGUUCAAUUUUACCAUCUCUCAGUGCUCCUGAGCACAAUCUUAUAAAUUUGCUGGACGAAUGUAAUGCAGCUGGCAUAUGAAAUUGAUCAGUACCAGUUGUUUCUUCCAAGGAUGAUGGAUAUGUAUUAUGUUACCUUGUACAAUGCAUCCAUAGAAAAGCAUCGCUCCUUCCUCUGUUUUCCCUCUAUAGUUAUUGCUCGGAUUAUAGAUAACAAAGAAAGAUGAAGAAUUGGAGGUUAUCCACAAAUAGUAGAAUGGCAAGUCGUCAGCUUUUAUUUAGUGUUCUAUUCAAUCUGUGUAACUUGUAAGUUGUAACUACUGUAUGUUGUUUUGAUUAAAUAGAAGAAAUACUUCUUGUUGUUUAUGUUAUUGCAGUUAAGUAGUUAACCUUGUGUAGCAUUUGGAAAGAAAUACCGCAACAAUGAACUGUAGUAUGUUUCUAAAACAGAAUUUUAUGCAUUACAUCAUUAUUCGUCUAGAGUAAGAUGUCCAUAUGGGGAUAUGGUUGCAUAAAUGGUCAGGAAACUGUGUUGUUGCUUGUCAUGUCCUAAAAUCUAGUACUAUGGGUACUGAUUCAGCAUUCAGGUGAUAUCAUAUAUCUGUGAUUCAAGUACUGUGUGGCCUAGGUUUUAACAGUAUUUUGUAUCUGUGGAUAAAAAUAGCAUAUACAAAAUCAUGGAAUAUGCUCUAAUGCUACUGUUAGCAGAAUCUAUUACACCUUAUUCCUUGCUUGCACGAUAAACUGAUUGAGAAUCAAACAGAAAUGUUCUAGACUUCUUUCAUUAGAUACAUAAUUGAAUUUCAGUGGAUAUUUUCAAACAUUUGAUAGUUCCUGACAUACUUGAAUUCAGAACUGAUACGAAGAAAAGAAAACUACAUAAUUUCAUAUGACAAAGUUGAAGCAGUUACAACAGAGAAGCAAACUUAAGCAAUAGCUGAUUACAGGGGGGGGCAAAAGUUAUAUAGUCAACUUGAUAACUUGGAAAGGAUCCUCCUCUGAUGGAUUAAUGAGUUGUUUCCGAGGGCCUCGAAAGCUUCCAUGAUUCAUCCAUGGUUUCCUCUGCCAUGAUCGAUGGUGGUGGGAUUUUGCCACCUUUUCUCUGUGCCAAACUCGUACUCCAACAACUUGGUGCCUUGAGACCAUUGAAAUGAAUAUGAAAAAGAAAAGGAGAAGGGAUGUGAUCAAGCUUUUCAUCUUCAUGGACAUGGUGCCUUUGAAACUGUAUUACUUAGAGAAAAUAUUAGCUAGUCGCCAGUGAUGUGAUUGAGUGAGAAUGUGAAAAGGAACAAGAUAUAAUGGAUUGCUUAGAAAGGCUCCAACGGCCAACUUUCAAA
Molecule: long non-coding RNA, 69165 nt
Filed under: Aquilegia coerulea
Lineage: Eukaryota; Viridiplantae; Streptophyta; Magnoliopsida; Ranunculales; Ranunculaceae
Description: long non-coding RNA (ACOE_LNC000461)
Source: RNAcentral